RNAcentral lists this long non-coding RNA (77883 nucleotides) under Capsicum annuum. RNAcentral describes it as "long non-coding RNA (CANN_LNC003447)". The record is from RNAcentral. Lineage: Eukaryota; Viridiplantae; Streptophyta; Magnoliopsida; Solanales; Solanaceae.
UGUCACUCAUUCCCUGUUGUUGGUGCACUUUGUAGUUACCAUUGCCAUUGUUGUAGCUGUUGUAAUUGUUGGAGUAGGUUUGUUCUUGAUUGUUGUAGUUGUUGUAAUUGUUACCGUAGUUUGUUGGGUUGGUGCUGUAGCUUUUGCCACUCAAUCUUGUUUCUGUAAACCCCUGUUGCUGCUCGUUGUUGUUGUUGUUGUAGUAUGAGUUGGCAGCAUUAUCAUACUCUUCCUCCUCGUUGAUGUCUUCAUUGAUAUCCUCGUUGUUGUUGUUGAUAUUGUUGUACUGCUGGUUGUUGCUGUAAAAACUGUCACCGCUGUAGAACUGUUGCUGCUGCUGGUUGUCGUAGUGGUUUUUAGUACUGAAAUCACUGACACCGUGGUAGUACUGUUGCUGGUUGUUGUUGUUUCUGCUGCGGUAAUUGGUGGGAGCACUGUAGAAUUGGUUGUUGUUCUUGUUGCUGCUGCGGUAAUUGGUGGGAGAACUGUAAAAUUGGUCAGUGGUUUGCUUGGUUGCAAACUCAUUGUUGUUGUUUUUGUUGUUGUCAUUGUCAUUGUUGAAGUUGUUUUCGUUAGUGUUGUCCUCAGCAACAGUGAUAUAAGAAACAGGGUUGUAAUUUUUGGGAAGGUACUUGCUGUUAGGAAGAUUGUUUACAUUGGGAGAAUUGGUGUUAGUAGUAGAAGGGGUGGAAACAGAGUCAUGACCAUAUAAGCCAUAUGCACCAUUUUCAUUUUCAGGCAUGAAAUUUGGCUCUUGCUCUUUGUUAGGAACAACUGAUUGUGUCUCUUUUUCACCAUUGUUGCUAGGGACUUUGUUGAAAAAUUGGCCAUCCCUUGCAUGAAUUUGAAGUGAAGAUAAGAGAGCAAACAGAAAAAUAAGGGAGAAGUUUUUGGCAAAGGAAGCCAUUUUGGAUAGAGAAAAAAGGAAUUAAGUGAGAAUUUGAGUUUGUGUAGUUUUGUUCAAUGGUUGUGAACUUACAAUGGGACUGUCUUUAUAUAGAGACCCUUUAUCCCUAUUUUGUGUGUAUUUGAAUUUUUUUUUUUAUAGUUCCAAAUUUUAAAAACUUUUUUUUUUUAAAAGAGUGGGGAGUGAUUAUCUCUCCCUCCAAUUUCUUGCUUAUUAGGUGCAAAUGGGGACAGGAGAAAUGGAAGAAAGAAGCUGGUCCCCAUGCGUAAUUAUAGCACUUUAACAAAAGGGUUAUUUUGACAGAUGGAUGUUCCUCAUUUGUAUCGAAUUAAUUAACAUAAUCUACUAAUUAUUAUAUCACUUGAAAGAUAAUUAAGAAUAACUAUUUUCAGUAAAUGUAUUGAUAAUUUAAAAUUUAAAGAUAACCUGCCAUAAUAUGUUAGUACUAUUUUACUAGAAAGUUCUUAUGUUUCUAAACGCACAUAAUUUAAAUUCAUUUUAUUUUUCUUGCUUUAGUUUUUUGUAAUUUCCUCUCAAGUGUACAUUUUUUUAAUAAAAAUACUUAUCAAUGUACAGUUGGAUCAAACUUAUUUAUCAAUAUGGUAUAAAUAUAUAAAAUCCAUAUGCCUAUUAUGAAUAUUAAUUUACUGGUUAUUUAUAAACUAGAUCGCUUAUUCCUUUUUUAAUUAUAUACUGAUAGUUGCAGAAAACAACAAUAAUCUAUGAAUUUAACUUUGUCCUUAAGAUUCAGUCAUGCGGCUCAAAAGUGUAAUCCUUAUGCUUUAGCUAAUUAAUCGCAAUUUGUUUUUAAUUUACUUUCCAUAUAUUUUAAACUCAAUUAACUUUUGAAGAACACAACAAAAUCAGUAAUGAUUCUAAAGAAUAUAAAACUUUAAGCUUUUAGGGUUUACGCAACUUUUGAUGUAUAUGGGCAAAGGAUCCCGAGGUGGUAGGUUCCAAAUGAGUAAAAUCCAGGCCAAAAUCCAACUAAAAUUACUCAAAUUGAUAAUCAAAAUAAAUGUGUAACAUUAAUUGAUACUACUAAUGUUAUAUUUUUGUGGCCAUUUAGCACUAUCCUUUCCUCUAUUCAAUUGUUAAGACUUAAAUUAAAAGGUGAAAAGAAUUAAGUGAGACAAACAUCAUUUUCAAAAUUCUAUCUAAAUUACAAACUUUCUUUUAUAGUCAUUUGAUAUUCGAAAUCCUCUGACCUUAUUACUCCUUCUAGUUCAAAAUAAGUGAAUUUUUGAGCUAUCUUUUUAAUACUUAAAAUAAGUGAAUUGUUAAUUUUUUAAAAGAUAUAUUGAAAAUUUCGUCCAAUUUUAUGUUCUAAUUUAUUUUCUUUAAUAGGUAUGUAUUGAGGCAAGAAUUCACUUAUUUUGAAUUCGAGGAAAUAUUAUUAAUAAGGAAUAUUAUUAGAUUUCAAACUAAAUUAGAUCUGAACUAUAAAUGAUGUUUCUCCGAUCUACCUCUAACCGAUAAGUCAAAAUUUCGAGUUACAUUUGAAUAUAUAAACUAUGAUCAUUUGAGGUUAUGAAAUUAACAAAAAUUCAAAAAGGUAAAAACACCCCCCUCUUGCCAAAAAAGUGGUCAUUGAAACAAACAAAAAGAGAAAGACAUAUAUUAUAAAGGAGAAGAGGAAAAAGAAAAAAAAAGAGUAAGGAGAUUAAAGGGGAAAUUAGAAUUGGAAGGAGAAGAGAAGCGGGGAUUGUGGAGUGGCCAUGAAUGAAAAUAAAAAAGAAAGUAUGGAGGGGGACAUUGAAAGUUAUGGAAUUUCAUUGGCACCACACAAACACACACACCAUGUGCCUAUUGUUUAAUAGAUAUCUAUGUAUGUCAAUGUGGGUACCUUUUUUUUACUUCUCCUACUACUCUAAUCUCAUUUCUUGCAUGAUUAGCUAUGGAAAAUACUAAUCCACGCGCAUAUAUAAACUAAACACGGAGCAAUUUAAAUUUUAUAUGCCGACAGUGAGAUACUAAUAAGGCUACUUAAACAAUAAUUUUAUGUAAUUCUUUAUAAUUGCUUUAGUUGAAACUAAAUAUGUAUGGCCAUACAUUUUACUUUUAUUUAUUGGAAAAAAACAUCAUUUUCACCCCAAACUAUACAAGAAAAGUUCAAGUCACACCUAAAUUAUACUAGUGAUCUCUUACACACCUAAACUAUAAAAAGGUGGAACCUUUUACCCCUUAAAUCUGACGUGAAAAAAUCAUAAUUAAUUAAAUUAAAAAAGGCGCGUCUACAUUAAUGCAAAAAAAAAUAUAAAAAAAUAAAAUAUUGACUCUACCCAACCCCUAAACUAUCAUCUUCUUCAUCGCUUCCACCUCCAAACCAUCAUCUUCUUCAUCACCCCUCACCCCAAACUCCAACCCCACCCCAACCAACAUAUCUUCUUCAUCACCCCCACCCUAAACUCCAACCCCACCGAAUCAAUGUCAAUUUCACUAAUUUUGAAAUCUCGAAACAAAAUUUGAAUUAGUAAUUUCGAACUAAGCUUAAACGAGCUUGCCGAAAUUCAAAUUGAAUUUGUAAUUUUCAUUUCGUCGGUGUUUCGGCGAACUCAAACGGUGACGAAUAUCCCCAUAUCCACGAAUCCCAAAUAUGAAGCACCAUAUCCAUUCUCAAUUUUUUUAAUUCUUCAUUUUUUUCUUGCCUUUUUUUGCUCACGCUUUUUUUUUUUUAUUUUUCUAUUUUGUUUGAUCGUUUUUUUCUUUUUUCAGUUUUUUUUUCUCAUUUUUCUUAAACUUUAUUUUUAUUUUUUCUCUCAUUUUUAUUUUUCUCAAAUUUUUAAUUCUUCGCUUUUUUCAUGAUCUUUAUUUUUUUCUUUCCAUUUUUUCUCAAUCUUUUUUUUAUUUAUCUAUUUUGUUUGAUCUCUUUUUUCUCAACUUCUAUUAUAUUUUGCUAAUAAAUAAAAAAUUGGAUAAUCCUCAAAGGGGUCUUACUUUUUUGACAUCAAAGCAAAUUUAAGAGCAUGAAUUGUUGUUACGAAGUUCUUUGAAAACUCUAGAGAUAAGUCGUGUCUCUAAGUGGAGAGUUGUAGAAUAUCUAAUAAAUAAAGGAUAAUGUGGUAGUGUCAGCUCUUGCCCGUGGGGCAUAGUUUAUUAUUUGAAAGUCCUUGAGCUAAGUCUUGCCUCUAAGGCAAGAGUUGUAGAUCAUUCCAUAAAUGAAGACAUAACGUGGUAGUGUCAACUCUUGUUCGUGGGGCAUAAUUUGUAGUUUGAAAGUCUUUGAGCUAAGUCUUGCCUCUAAGGCAAGAGUUGUAGAACAUCUCAUAAAUAAAUACAUAACGUGAUAGUGUCAACUCUUACUCAUGGGGCAUAGUUUGUAGUUUGAAAGUCCUUAAGCUAAUUAAGUCUUGCCUCUAAGAAAAGUGUUGUAGAACAUCUCAUAAAUGAAAACAUAACGUGGUGUCACACCCCCUUUUUACCCAAGAAGAUUGAUUUUAAACGUUUGAAAGAGUUUUUAUUAUUAAAGUGACAAAAGAUUAAAAAUUUAUUUCGAAAAAAGACAAUUUACAUUUUUUAUUCAGAGUCGCCACUUGGCAUAAUCCGGUGUGUCAAGUCACCUUUGGAAAAUCCUUUUCAAAACUGUUUUGACUCUUUUAAAACUGGUUUGCGAACAGAGAUUCCGGCUAAGGAAUUCUGUUGACCGAGGGGAAGGUGUUAGGCACCCCUUGAUCCCGUGGUUCGACCACGGUCGCUUGGUGGAGCGUAUCGGCCAAUUCGACACUAAACAUGUAUAGACCAUAUAAACACACAACAAUCAAACAAACAAACACAAACCAAAACAAAUCCUAAAAAUAUAAUAUUUAGUCCAAUUAUACAGUCCAAAAAUAAAAAAAUACGAAAAAUGUAAAUCCUAUUCUAAACUAAUCCUAGACUAAGCUCCAUUGCUUUCCCUAAUCGACGUUUUGGGCCUUGAUCGCGCAUCGUCUUCAAGUACAUGAUACUUCGUGACAUUCCCCGAAUAAACCAAUACAAAAUCCUCGGGGCACUCCCCGACCAAAUAAAUACAAUAGAUCCCAAUGCAUAAAUGAAAACCAUUCCACAAACAUUUCAUCAUUCAACAAUCACAAAUCCUAAGCUUUGCCUACCCAACCUACCUUUGACUAUUCAACUUUCGACCUAAAAUAUGCUCUUAUCGAGUUCACAAACUUGAAAUUUAUUCCGAAUUAAACAAAAACAACAAUGAAUCAAAAUCGACCAAAAAUUCACCCUUUUAUCAAUUUCUCAAUUUCCGCUCCAAAACGAUCAAUUUUAAUUCUCAAACGAGUACCAUUUCAUCCCGUAAUCCAUAACCAAAGAAAUCAAACAAAGAAACUAAACAACCAACAAUUCACAUCAACAUAGAUCAACCAACACGAUAUUCUAUUUAAUGUACCGGAUAUCAUCAACAAUGAAAUAAAAAGAGGUGAAAGAGUAGAAUUGGACCUCAUUUGAAGCUUUCAAAUUCAAUAUUACUCGAAUAAAGAGAUGAAGCCCGCAAUAGGAGACCUCAAAUUGAACCUCGGCAACGACUGCCAACUCGAAUUAAAAAUCUUCAACUUAAGAACCUAAAAUCCCGUUGUAAUUCCCCUCAAACCGAUUUAGAACUAAAACCCACAAACAAAAAGAAGCAACGAAACCCCAAAUCUAACCACACAUUCAAAUGCCGACCAUGAUUUUGAAUCGAUUUUAUCGACUGAGAUGAGAUAAGGUGACGACAGGCUUGUGGGUGGUAUUUUCUGAUGGUUUGAACGGAGCAAUCAGCUGGAAUUACUGUUUGUUUCUGUUUUCCAGCGAUGGUUUGGCUGGAUCAAUUCGCGGUAUUAUUGUCGCCUAUUCGGAGAUCCAGUGAGCUUCGACGGCGAUUCAAACAGUGACGAGAGCUACAGUUCCGGCGAGAAUGUCUUCGGAAAAUUGAGGAUCGAUCUGUGUCUUUUUUUUUGUUUCUCCCAAUUUUCUCACUGUCUCUCUCUCGAUCUUUAUCCCUCUCCCGAAUUGUGUAUGUAUCGUGAGUAUGUGUAUGCAUGUUUUCUACGCCAAAGAAGAAGAGAACAAAGAUAUUCUCCUUUUUCGUAUGUUCUCUCAAUAUUGUUGAAGGAAUCGUGAUUGUCUAUUAUGGAGAAUAAGAUGAUGAAAGAAUGAGCCUCCCCCUUUUUUCCUUUUAGAAUUUUUCUUUUAUAUUUUUUAUUUGGUUUUUUUUUCUUUAUUUAUUAUCCUACGUGGAAGCAUAUAAUUAGUGGCUUGUGGAAAUAAGUGUGUGGCAUGUGGAAAGAUGAGGGUGGCGUGUGAAAAAAUGAGUAGGUCGUGUGCCUUUUGCAUGUAUCCAAUGAAAAAUGAAAAGUGAGGUGUUGAGGUGGCAUAGUGAGGUAGCAAAGAUGCUAUGUAUUUAAUUAUUUUCAAUUUUUUUUAGGGAGAAAUUAUCAAUUAAACAAAAGUAUGGUAGGUGAAUAAAAUAAAAACAAAAAUAAAAAUUAAAAUUAAAAAAUAAAAUAAAAUAAAAUAAAAAUAAUUAAAAUAUUAUUGGAAAAAUACAAAAUUACGUGUCUACAUCAUGCCCCCUUUGUAUGUAAACACAUGGUGUUUUCAUACAAAGCAGUAGACAACGAGACAGAAUUUUUUCCUGACCUUAUUCAAAAGCACGGAGCACGAGGAAGGAGGAAAAUCAGGUCUUGACUUAGGACAUCCUACCUACCCAAGUUAUGAGAGAAUCGAGUGACAGUUAUCUCAAAGGAUUGGAAGGAGAUGGACUAUGCCGAGUUGGAGAGUCGAGUGAGGUCCCAUCGAGGUUCCGAUCCGAGGCUCUGUUAUUACAUCAAAAAUGAAAAUUACAAGUUAAAAACAUAAAUGAAAUUAUAAAAUCCUAUCUACGCAGCUUCUGUUGGACUCUUGACUUGAGUUUCAUCACCCUAUUCUUCAGGCGGGCUCCUGAUUUGAAAUUUCUUCAACUUGUUGCUUGGUUUUCAAUUUCAUCACCCUGUUCUCCAGGCGGGCUCCUGACUUGCUAUUUUCGAUCUGUUGGCUUUCAUUUUCUUCACUUUGUUACUUGACUUUCAACUUCUUCACCUUGUUGCUUGACUUUCAAUUUCUUCACCUUGCUGAUUGACUUUCUAUUUAUUUGCCCUGUGCUUCGGGCGGACUCCUGAAAUCACAUCAAAACUAGAAAGAAAAUUAUCCUAAACAAAAUUAUUAUAAAGAGAAAAUCGUUUGCCAAAAAAGUAAAGUUCCAAAACAGAUAUUAAUUUUUUUUUAUUUUUUAUUACUUGUGGGUGUCGUAUUUAUGUUAUGCCAUCUUGUUCCAUGCUUUACUAUAAAUUUGUUUAGUAUCCCGUGUCUCGAGUCGGGGGUCUAUCGGAAAUAGCCUUUCUACUUCUUUAGAGGUAGAGGUAUGGACUGCGUACAUCUUACCCUCCCCAGACCUCACUAUGUGGGAAUACACUGGGUUUGUUGUUGUUGUUUUAUUUUUUGCCCCAGUUUACCAUCAGAAGACUUUUGAGAAAGUCAGAUCAUACCUACUUACAUGUUGCAAUAAUAAAUCAAUACUCUGACCAAGAAAUGCAUCUCUUGAUAGUAAAAUUGAAUGACCAAGACUAGGAAGUGCGUCUCCUAAGAAUUAAAGUGAGAAAUACUGACUAGAAAGUGCAUCUUCUAGGGAUAGAAGUUUAAAUUAAAAAGUGUGUCACCUGACAAAUGAAAACUAACAAGGAAGUGCGUCUCAUAAGGAUUAAGUGCAAUGACUCGACUAGAAAGUGCAUUUUCUAGAAAUCAAGGAGAAUGACUUGACUAAAAGGUACGUCUUAUAAGAAUAAAAAAAAUGACUCGACUAAAAGUAAGUCUUUUAGGGGUCAAGGGGAAUGACUCGACUAAAAGGUACCUCUUAUAGGAAUCAAAGAAAAUGACUCGACUAAAAAGUACGUCUUAUAGGAAUCAAAGGAGAUGACUCGACUAAAAGGUACGUUUUAUAGGAAUAAAAAGAAAUGACUUGACUAAAAGGUACGUCUUUUAGGGGUCAAGGGGAAUGACUCGACUAGAAGGUACGUAUUCUAGGAGUGAAGGGUCAAUUUAAGAAGUGCAUCACCCAACAAAUGAAAACUAAAAUCCCUGGAAAGGAAAGUAUGUCUCCGAGGGAUAUAAGAUGAUGAAUUUUUACUAUGAUUUAAUUAUCAAAACUUUGCAGCAACAUUUCUUCCUGCAUUUGUAAAAGUGAGAAAUUACGGGCCUUGAUGUUUAGGUUUUGAAAUCCUUGAGUUGAAGGUGACAUGUGUUCUUGUUUCAUGCAAAGAAAAGUUGUGAGUUUAAAAACGUGGAGGCAAGUUUGUGGCUUUGGCUUUCGUGGCAAACGCUCUUGCCGUCAUCACAUUUAACCUUGCUUCCAACCAUUACAUAUAUCAUUGACUUGAUGCAUCAUUGACCCAAACUCAAAUUAUUAAGAGUGACUUUGAAACAAAUACAGUAUCUUUGCUUUGCCAUGCUCCUCAGAUAAACUCUUUGAACUUUGGUAUUUCCAUGAGGUCCCAGACUUGUCUGUUGACAGAACUUUCUGUAUGCCUUAUUUCGGCUCACAAUCAUAUCUCUUUCAUGUGUUGGCCUUUUGUCUUGAUUUUUGCAAUUGAAGAAGAUUGUAGCCAGUUUUGAAAUCUUUUCUCACUUGUUUUGACACGGACUUGACUCAAAGACAAGAAACAAAAAAAAUGAUAAUUUUUUUUUGGAUAGAUGACUCAAUAAAUAUAAAAUAAAAAUAAAGAGAAAGAAAAGACAAUGAAUGUCUCCUUUUGAAACAAAGAAGCGAAAAAUUCAUCUAAAAAUGACAAUCAACACUAAUGAUUAUGCCAUCCAUUUUGGAUUAAGCAUCUUGAUCUUUUCAUCCAAAUUUUCUACCCAUUGUUGUUGAGUUAAUGGCCUUGAAACUGCGUUGUUUCCUUAGGUCAGUUGAAUUUAAGACCCCAUUCGGCUAGUGGUGCCUUGAAGGGUUUUCGCCAACAAGCUUCUCUCAUUUUCUUUUCCUCAGCUCACCAUUGACUUAUGGUGUUUUUAAGGAUUUUCCACUAAUGAGACUCUCUUAUCUUCGUUUCCCUUAACUCACAGUCGUCUUAUGACGCCCGUGAGAGUUUUCACCGAUAAGACUCUCUCAUUUUUAUCUCUCUCAAAUUACCAUCAUCUUACGGUGCCCGUGAGAAUUUUCACCAAUAAGACUCUCAUUUUUAUUUCUCUCCUGAUUUCUUAUGUUGAGGAAGACAAGUAGUUUCCAAAUGCAUCAUCAUAUCCCUUGCAUGCUUAGCCUUAACAUCCUCAAAGAUUGAUCUGAAGGUCUUUCUUUGGUUGAAACUUAAUUUUUGGAUAGGGUUAGAAAGAAAGGAUGGCAUGGGGCCCAAACGACACUUGAAGUGGUGUAAGACUUACAACUUUUGGAAUCGGCUCAAACAAUGAGGAUUAACUCAUGCCCCAAUUUCUUUUGACUGGGUGACUCUAAAUUGUUUAUUUGGUUGGACCGAGCCCGGAUUAAGGCAGCCUACGUAUCUUACUCCCGAGAGAGGAGAAUCAGGUCAUGCGUAGUUCUGGCGGCUUGUUCUUUUGCUUGAUAAUGACUCCUUUUUUAUUCCAUUGACUUUUAUUGACUCUUUUCUUUUUGGAAUUUUUUUUCAACUCUUUUUUCUUGAUACUUUUUUUUUUCUUUUUGGACACAUUUUUUCUCUCUUCUCUUCUUUUUUUUGACUCUAUUCUUUUGCUCUACACUUUUAUUUUGAAUUUUAUCGACUCUAUUUUGAUUCCAAAAGAGGGGUAUGAAAGAAAAUAGAAAUAGGCUCAAAUGGGGUAAACAAAGAAUGACACAAUGUUUGGAUAACAGAAUAAAAUGCCUUCGUCAUAUCAAUCCUUGAAAAUGCAAGUACAUAUCAUGCAAUAUGAAAGUAAGAGAUGAAAAUCAGUUGUGAUAUUUUUUACAGCACUAAUUUUAACUGAAACUGUGCGUCGUUACUUCUUCUGCCAACUCCAUCUUUGUUGUACAUUCCUCAUGCUUUCAUGGAGCUAAUUUUUCUAUUCCUUUUGAUGUAGGAUCACACAUCUACUAUUUGACUUAAUUGAGACAUGUCUUUCAAAUGCUGACCAAGUUAUUCUCACGAUUCUCAAAAUAAUUGCCUUAAUUUUCAAAGAAGGCUUCAACUUGAUCACCAAAUGCCCCAACACUCUAUCUAUUUUCUCAGACGCUUUCUUUUUCUAACUUUAACCCUCUGAUUCCAUGUUUCAUGGUUAAAUUGGACUUUAAGAUCUGGCUAAAAAUUCUGCAAGCAUGUCAUAUCACUAGAGUCAACAUAAAAUGUACUGUAUAAAGAAAGCAAACAAACAACACAUGUUUAAAAUACAAAGAAAAAUAGGACACUUCAUUUAGUUGAAACAAAAGAUAGAAGGAUUUGAACAUAAACGACAAAAGGACAAAACAAGAUAGAUCCUAAACUACAACUCUAAAAUGAUUCAGAUAACAGAAAAUAAAACAAAACAAACUACCAGACCUCUUCCUAGUAGGGAGAGAGGUGACUUUUCAAUUGCUCAGCCUGACAACUUAGCCAUUGAUUUGCAUAUCAGCAUGACUAGAGCUUCUCUCAUUGUCAAUGUUCUGCACCAUAAUUGAUCCAUCUUGAAUUAUCUUUUCAAUUUCUCUUUUCAAAUCUCGACAAUCUUCAAUACUAUGACUCUGAGCAUCAGAAUGAUACGCACAUCGUACAUUAGGAUCAAAAUUUCUUGAACUCCGAUUAAGAGUGCACCCCAGGAGAGAAGUGAUCAUGCCCCAUUGUACCAAUCUCUGAAAUAAACUGGCAUACGACUCUCCAAUUGGUGUGAAGCUAUCUCUCGACUUCUGCCUUAUUUCAUUGUUUGGCUUGGAUAGAAAAUCUGGCCUAGAAGGGCAUUGGUAUAUUUGUAGAGUAAGAGGAUGACUUUGGGGCAUUGGGAAGAGGAUGACUUUGGGGCAUUGGGGUAUGCCAUUGUAGGUAAGAUUGGGGUUGAACAUAUGGUUGUGCAUUAAACAAUGGAUAUGGAUGUGGAGGAACAGAGUAUAAUGGAUUUUGAGAGCGAUUAUGUGAAACUUGGGUAUGAACUUAGGUUUGAGCCUGAGAGUGACAACGACAGGGUCUUCUUGAUCUUUCCUGAUGUCCAACUACAAUAGCAGAUGCAUCUUCCUCAUUCUUUUUCUCCCCAACACUUCUUGAACCCUUUUGAAUUUCUUGAGUUGUCGCUUUCAAUAUUGCAAAACUCACAAUGCGACCAGUCUUAAAUCCCUCUUCUAUCAUCUCCCCCAUUUUAAGGACCUCAAUAAAUGACUUACCUAAUGCAGGUAACAAGUGUUGAUAAUAUGUUUCAUCCAGCGCUUGAAUAAACACCUUCACUAUUUUGCUUUUUUUUUAUUGGCGGUUUUACUCUAGCAGCUUGUUCACGCCAUCUGAUCGCAUACUCCCUGAAACUCUCAAUAUUCUUUUUUUUAUACUAGUUAGGGAUUUUUCGUCAGGGACCAACUCCACAUUGUAUUAAAAUUGUUGCACAAAUUCGUUAGCUAGGUCAUCCCAACUAAUCCACUUGUCAAUGUCUUAGUCAACAAACUAUUUCAAAGCUAGGCCUGAAAGACUCUCCUCGAAAUAAGCCAUGAGUAGUUCUUCCUUCCCUCCAGCGCCCCUUAAUUGGUUACAAUAGCACCUCAAAGGUGUCACUAGGUCCCCAUGUCCGUCAUACUUCUCAAACUUUUGCAUUUCAAAGCCAGGAGGAAGGUUGACACCUGGAAACAUGCAUAAGUCCUUAUAUGAGACAUUUUUGUAACCCCCAAGUCCUUGCAAGUUCUUCAUAGCCAGUUGCAAACUUCUCAAUUUUCUGGUUAUUUCCUCUUGUUCUUCUGUCAUAACAGGCUUCUCAGUGUUAGGAGUAAAUUCAGGCGGGUGAGUGUCACUGUAAAGACCAGUCAACUUGAAUAUAGGCUAGGAAGUGUAAUGCUGAUCGCCAGUAAUAUUCAAUGCAAACUCUCUUGUAGAGUAGGAGGCACAACUCGUGGAUGAACAUCAAAAGUAGGAGCUUCAAGUGGGGGGGGAGGGGGGGCACCGUAAAAGCAUGAACAACAGGUGGAGUAGAGUAUGUGGUAGUGUUGGAUUGGGGAGUGAGAAAAUGAACAUUGGAAGUGGUUGGAUAUUGUUGCCCCGGAGUCGAUCCUGAUGCAUGUUGUGGAAUAUCAACCAAAAUAGGGAAUUGUGCAUAUGACACUGGAGGCAAACUAGAAAGAUAUUUCAGAUUAUCAGCGGGGAAUGGAGGAGGCGACAACCCAUUAGCCCAAGCUCGAUGCAUUUCUAUCAUUUGUUGCCUUAAUUUUUGAAUCUCUUCAUUAGCUCUUAUAUUCUCAUUCCCCGAGCUCCCUAUCUGAUUAGUGACAACUAACUCGGUAUCCUUGUUGGCCAUAACUUUCUCUGUGACUUGGAGCAAUAUGGAGGACCAACCAAAAUGCCACAAACCAACCACUUUAAACUAACUGAGCAAGUGAUAGCAAAUGCGUUAGAAUUCAACACUUUUUUUUUCAAAACUUUUUUUUGCUUUUUGAAAAGGUCACCGAACCCAAGAGGGGUGCCUACAUAUCUCACCCCCAAAAGAGUAGAAUCAGGUGUGCGUAGUUCGUGAAGUCUUGCCAAAAUGGUCAAUCAAACUCUUUUUUUUCUUGAAGCAAAGUGUCAAAAGAAUUGACAAAAUCUUUUUUGCAUUUUUUAGGUUUAAAUCUCUAUACAAAAUGAAACCUAUGAUUACCAAAGAAAAAUCUUUUUUGGGUUUUCAAUUUUGAAUUUCAUAUGAAAAUGAAACUUGAACCUAUUAAAAGAAAAUCUUUUUGCAGUUUUCUUUUAAAGAUGUAUACGAAACACUUACUCUAAAUAAAGAAUGAAGAAAAUCUUUUUGAAUUUUUCAAAUAAGAUCCCCGAACCAACAAUAGGUUGCCUACGUAGCUCAAUCCCGAGAGAGGAGAAUCAGGGGUGCGUAGUUCAUCCAGAUUGGACAAUUAAGGAUUAUAGAACAAACAAAACCUUGACUUGAGAGACACGAUUGCAUGAUGAAAAUAAAAUCUUUUUGGGUUUUUAAUUUGACACUUCAUACAAAAUUGACACCAACAACUAUGAAAGAGAAAAGAAAUCUUUUUGGUAUGUUUGUUAUAUGAGAUGUACAAAUCUCCUACCAUCUUUUUUACAUUUUUUCUUUAUAAAAGCUUCAAUUAAAAAAUCUUUUUGAAAUUUUCGAAUUAUAAAUGCAGGGUAAAGGAACAAAAGGAAAUAUUUUUGAUGUUUUUGAGAAAAUGAGUGCGAAAGGUAAAAAAAUCUUUUUGAAUUUUUGAAUUGUGAAAAACAAAAGCCAUAAAAAACUACGAAACUCUUUUUUUUUUUUGACUCACUGGCUCUUCUAUUUUUUUCAACAAUUCUUGCCUACGCCCUUUACUUCUAACACAUGCUUUCCCCAAAUCAAUCUAUCAAAUGACCACGUUACCCUCAAAGAUGCAACAUUUAGCACGUAGGGAUGCUUUAGAGGUGAGUCUCCUACAAAGGGUCAGGUGGGUCUCGCUAGGUCUCAAUAUGAUGCAGAUAAGCAUGACUUAAUGACCGACCUAUGCUGGGGUCCACUAACAAGGCUGUUGAGGGAUUGUAUGGUCGAUAGUGGAUUGAUUUAGCUGUCCACCUACUCCAUACAACCCAAAGGCUCCCCCUCCUAAAAUAAGGGUGACUCAACUUUAGGUCGUGUACACACGUGUACUAUAGACUUGUUGCAGAAAGAAAGACUCGAGUUAUACACAUGAUGCCAGAUAUAAAGCGGUAAUACAUAAAGUAAAAACUGUAAACAAAGAGCACGUAGGAACUCAACAAUGAUAAACAAUAACACAAAACAACACAAACAAAAUGUCUAUACACCUAUAGUGCCAAACUAAGCCGAUACAAAUCCAAAAUAAGCUCGAAUUCUGAAAAUCCCCCAGUAGAGUCGCCAGAGAUGUCACACCCCUUUUUUACCUAAAAAGAUUGAUUUUAAACGUUUGAAAGGGUUUUUAUUAUUAAAGUGACAAAGGAUUAAAAAUUUAUUUCGAAAAAAGACUAUUUAUAUUUUUUAUUCAGAGUCGCCACUUGGCAUAAUCCGGUGUGUCAAGUCACCUUUGGAAAAUCCUUUUCAAAACUGUUUUGACUCUUUUAAAACUGGUUUGCGAACAGAGAUUCCGGCUAAGGAAUUUUGUUGACCGAGGGGAAGGUGUUAGGCACCCCUUGAUCCCGUGGUUCGACCACGGUCGCUUGGUGGAGCGUAUCGGCCAAUUCGACACUAAACAUGUAUAGACCAUAUAAACACACAACAAUCAAACAAACAAACACAAACAAAAACAAAUCCCAAAAAUAUAAUGUUCAGUCCAAUUAUACAGUCCAAAAAUAGAAAAAUACGAAAAAUGUAAAUCCUAUUCUAAACUAAUCCUAGACUAAGCUCCAUUGCUUUCCCCAAUCGACGUUUCGGGCCUUGAUCGCGCACCAUCUUCAAGUACAUGAUACUUCGGGGCAUUCCCCGGAUAAUUACAAAAUCCUUGGGACAUUCCCCGACCAAAUAAAUACAAUAGACCCCAAUGCAUAAAUGAAAACCAUUCCACAAACAUUUCAUCAUUCAACAAUCACAAAUCCUAAGCUUUGCCUACUCAACCUACGUUUGACUAUUCAACUUUCGGCCUAAAAUAUGCUCCUAUCGAGUUCACAAACUUGAGAUUUAUUCCAAAUUAAACAGAAACAACAAUGAAUCAAAAUCGACCAAAAUUCACCCUUUUAUCAAUUUCUAAAUUUCCGCUCCAAAAAAUAUCAAUUUUAAUUCUCAAACGAGAUACCAUUUCAUCCCGUAAUCCAUAACCAAAAAAACUAAACAACCAACAAUUCACAUCAACACAGAUCAACCAACACGAUAUUCAAUUUAAUGCACCGGAUAUCAUCAACAAUGAAAUAAAAAGAGGUGAAAGAGUAGAAUUGGACCUCAUUUGAAGCUUUCAAAUUCAAUAUUACUCUAAUAAAGAGACGAAGGCCGCAACCGGAGACCUCGAAUUGAACCUCGGCAACGACUGCCAACUCGAAUUAAAAAUCCUCAACUUACGAACCUAAAUCCCGCAGUAAUUUCCCUCAAACCGAUUUAGAACUAAAACUCACAAACAAAAAAAAACAACGACACCCCAAAUCUAACCACACAUUCAAACAAAGACCAUGAUUUUGAAUCACUUAUAUCGACUGAGAUGAGAUAAGGUGACGACAGGCUUGUGGGUGGUGUUUCCCGGUGGUUUGAACGGAGCAAUCAGCUGGAAUUAUUGUUUGUUUCUAUUUUCCAGCGAUGGUUUGGCUGGAGCUAUCCACGGUUUUAUUGUCGCCUAGUCGGAGCUCCGGUGAGCUUCGACGACGAUUCGAACAGUGACGGGAGCCAUAGUUUCGGCGAGAAUGUCACCAGAAAAUUGAGGAUCGAUUUGUGUCUUUUUUUUUUGUUUCUCCAAUUUUCUCACUGUCUCUCUCUCGAUCUCUAUCCCUUUCCCGAUCUGUGUAUGUAUCGUGAGUGUGUGUAUGCGUGUUUUCUAUGCCAAAGAAGAAGAGAACGUAGAUAUUCUCCUUUUUCAUGUGUUCUCUCAAUAUUGUUGAAGGAAUCGUGAUUGUCUAUUGUGGAGAAUAUGAUGAUGAAAAAAUGAGCCUCCCCCUUUUCCCCUUUUAGAAUUUUCCAUUUAUAUAUUUUAUUUAGUUUUUCUUUUUCUUUAUUUAUUAUCCUACGUGGAAGCAUAUAAUUGGUGACUUGAGAGAAUAAGUGUGUGGCAUGUGUAAAAGUUAGUGUGGCAUGUGGAAAUAUGAGGGUGGCGUGUGAAAAAAUGAGUAGGUCGUGUGCCUUUUGCAUGUAUUCAAUGAAAAAUGAAAAGUGAGAUGUUGAGGUGGCAUAGUGAGGUGGCAAAGAUGCUAUGUAUUUAAUUAUUUUCAAUUCUUUUUUUUUGGGAGAAACUAUCAAUUAAAAAAAAGUACGGUAAGGUGAAUAAAAUAAAAAUAAAAAUAAAAAUUAAUAAAAUAAAAUAAAAUAAAAAUGAUUAAAAUAUUUUCGGGAAAGGACAAAAUUACGUGUCUACACGUGGUAGUGUCAAAUCUUGCUCGUGGGGCAUAAUUUGUAGUUUGAAAGUCCUUGAGCUAAGUCUUGCCUCUAAGACAAUAGUUGUAGAACAUCUCAUAAAUGAAAACAUAACAUGAUAGAGUCAACUCUUGCUCAUGGGACAUAAUUUGUAGUUUGAAAGUCCUUAAGCUAAUUAAGUCUUGCCUCUAAGACAAUAGUUGUAAAAACAUGUCAUAAAUGAAAACAUAACGUGGUAAAGUCAACUCUUGCCCGUGAGACAUAAUUUGUAGUUUGAAAGUCCUUGAGCCAAAACUUACCUCUAAGGCAAUAGUUGUAGAACAUCUCAUAAAUGAAAAUAUAACAUGGUAAAGUUAACUAUUGCCCGUGGAGCAUUAUUUGUAGUUUGAAAGUCCUUGAGUCAAGUCUUGCCUCUAAGGCAAGAGUUGUAAAACAUUUCAUAAAUGAAAACAUAAUGUGGUAGAGUCAACUCUUGCCCGUGGGGCAUAACUUAUUAUUUGAAAGUCCUUGAGUUAAGUCUUGCCUCUAAGGCAAUAGUUGUAGAACAUCUCAUAAAUGAAAAUCUAACGUGGUAGAGUCAACUCUUGUUCGUGGGGUAUAAUUUGUUGUUUUGAAAGUCCCUGAGCUAAGUUUUUCCUCCAAGGUAAGAGUUAUAAAACAUCUCAUAAAUCAAAAUAUAAUGUGGUAGUGUCGACUUUUGCCCAUGAAACAUAACUUGUUGCUUGAAAGUCAUAAGUCUUGUCUCUACAAUGUAGCAGUAUCAACUCUUGCCCAUGAAACGUAGCUUAUUGUUCGAAAGUCGUAAGUCUUGCUUUUAUAAUGUGAUAGUGUCAACUCUUGCUCAUGAGAUGUAACUUGAAUGGAAGAAAUUGAAGAAAAGUACAAAAAUAAUAAAAAUUGCGAAAAAAGAAGAAAAUGAAGAAAAAUAUUAAAAAAAACAAAAAUCAAUGAAAAUGUAGAAAUUGAGAGAGAAUAGGAAAAAAAUAAAGGUUGAUUAAAAAAAAAGAUUAACAAAAUAAAAGUCGAGAAAAAUUUAAAAAGAAAAAAAUCAAAGAAAAAUAAAAAUAAAAAAUUUUAAAAUAAAAGUAGACGUUAAAAGGUGUAAAAAAAAGUAAGGGUUGAGAAAAACUAAAAAUAAUAAGAAAAGAGAGGAAAGAAAAAAUAAAAAAUAUAAAAAAUAUAAAAGAAAAAAGAAAAAACUUGAGAGGAAAAAGGAAAAAAGUAAGGGUUGAGAAAAUAAAAAAUAAAAAUCAAAGUAAAAUUAAAAUUAAAAAGAGAAAAAAAAUAAAAAUUGAAAGAUAUAAAUAUGGAGUUGUUAUUUAUUAUCCGAUCAUUUCUAUAACUACUUCAUUGAUCAGGAGCAAUUUUGUCCAAAAGAAUAUUAGUUUAUAGAUAAGGCUAUUUUAAGAAUUUUUUUUUUAUUUGGAGCUAAAAUUUGAAAGUCACCCCAAUUUGGGUCUAUUUUUUAGAUUCACCCUUAUAUAAAAGUCUUCAAAUAAAUAAAAAUUCCUCCUAUAACUACUUGCAUGUUGUAGACUACACAAAUUUAAAAACUUCCUCUCUAUGUAUUAAUUUGGUAAUUAAAUUGAAAAACUCCAACUAUGAAAGGCCCCUACCUAGAACAAAAACGUUUGCAGUUUGAAACACCACAAAAUAAUAAAGAAAUUUGGAGGAGUUAAAGAUCAAUAAUUUGAAGACGACGGACUAUUCAAUUGCUUUGAGUGCAAUUAAUCACAAAUUUAGGUGAGGACAGAUUAAACAAUAAAAAUAGAAUUGUUCAACUUUCAAACAGUUACUCCCUCCGUGUAAAAUAUUUAUCAACUUCUAAAGAUAUCCAUCCUAAAAUAUUUAUUAAUUUCUAAAAUCAAGAUAGAAUUAAUUAAAUUUUAUUUAAUUUUAAAGUAAAUAAUAAAUUAGUAAAAAUAAGUUUUACUUGAGAUUUUUUAAAAGGCGUGUGAAAAAGAAAUGUGACACUAAUAUAGAUAGAGAAGUACAAAGUUGUUCCUUUUUUUUUUUUUUUUUUUUUUUUUUUGAGUUCGAUCAGAAAAAGCAUAUAACCAGCAUGAAUUGUGGUAUAGUGAUGAGAUCACUCUAUUCUUAAUCAGAAGUUUCGGGUUCGAGCCCUGAGUUUAGAGACAAUCUUGUUGGGAGUGCUACUCCUAGCAUGGGCCCUGCAACACGCGGUCUAGGCUAGUCGAGGCUCCAAUGCGGGCACCGGACAACGGAUUAAAAAAAAGGGCAUGUAUAAUUAUAUUUUAAGAAAAUAAGGGGGAUUUCUUAUUGGAUGAGAAGUACUUGGCAGUUGAUCAGUUGGUUGAAAUUAAUGACACAUUUUCCCUUUUCUGGCUCAUUUUCUGCUUUUUACUACUAUGUCUUUAUUGAUAUUUAUUUCUAAAUUAAUGUAUAAUGUAUUGCUAGGUGCCUCCAUUCUUUUUCUGGAUUUAUGAUUAAGGCGACUACUCAUACAAAUUGUUGGCUUGCGCACUUAUAGUAGUGUUAGAAAUAAAUAUUUCUAACAAUUUAUGAACCUUGUAAUAAAAGUUGGAUGAAAUAUGGGAAGAAUCAUAAUCAAUGCCUCAAAAUAAUAUCGACCCAAAAUUUAAAAUUAACUUAAAUAUUAAUCCAUUUUUUCAAAGAAAGGACUAAUAGAAAGUGUGCAGUUCAACCACCCAAAUUAAGACAGAUUUAUGAAUUGUUGUAAGAAGUUCAAAGGAGUUGGUUAUAUGUGGUUAAUGUGGAUGCCAUGUUGAUAGUGUAUGAAAAAAUUAUGAGUGUAAAAGUCUAAGCACGUUGUUAUUGAUAGUGAAAAUUAUGUUCUAGAGGAUAGACUAAUCACCAAAUGAAUGAUUAUAUUAUAGUUGGACCAUUUUAUAGGAUAUUUACUGCUCCCAACCAGAAUAAGUGUUAGUAAUUAACUCUAAUCAUUACACUUUGUUAAAUAUACAACAACAAAAUAUCCAUUAAAUUCCCACCUAGUGAGGUCUGAGGAGGGUAAAAUGCACACAGUUCAUAUCACUUAUCCCAAAAACAUAAAGAGGUUGUUUCCAAUAGACCCCCGACACUUUAUUAAAUAUAUGAAAAAAAAUUCAUUUAGCAUUUAGUAUAAUAUUGCAUGAUUAUUAUUCACUUUAUUGAUUCUUAUAUACAGAGGCGGAGCUAGCCUUCUUUAGGGGGUUCGGUCGAACCCCAUUGACGGAAAAAUAUACUAUUUAUACAUGAUUAAAAUUAUUUUUUUAUGUGGUUAUAAUAGGUGUUGAACCCCCUUCAACUAAGUUUUCUUUGAAUAUUGAACCCCUUUAGUGAAAAUCCUGGCUCCGCCUCUACUUAUAUAUUGCGCUUGACUGCAAAUUACAAUUCUAACCAUAUUAUUACGACGAUCGACUGGAAUAGUUAAUUUAUAUUUCCCCCAUUUCUCCUUUAGUUAUGUUAGGAACGGCAAAAAUAGCCAAAGAACGAGAAUUAUUAUUAAAUAUUAUUCGAUGUGUUACGAUCUAUAAGCCUAUAACAACGAAGGAGAAGGGUAAAUUUUUUGUAAUUAAAUAAAUUAUUAAAAAAAUUAAAACUUAGUAAGAAUCAGCUAAGUUGAAUUAUCACCUAUUAUGUAUUUAGCCAUCAUAAUUCAGUUUAGCUCAACGCAGCUAAUAUUUGGGUAGGAUUAAUGUCAUUUGUUUGCUAAGCUCAUCAUAAUCCGUCCAAAUUUAACCAAAUUGAUAUAAAGUGUAUAGCAUGGUAGGGUUGGACCUUCGUUGCAUGCCAUGUCCUAUAAGUAUUAAACUAGACCUACCCAUAAAUUAUGGCUUGAUUGACUGUACAAUUGUCCACUAGAAAUGUGGUGGGUGGGGGUACCACAAAUAUAAGACCUAGACCUAGCCGCAAUUACACAUAGAGGCUUUUUUUCCACCCGAUUCGAUAUUUGUAUUGGAAUCCCGACUAAUCUGGAUCGCAUAUUGUAGGACCUAUUUUGGGGGUGACGCUCUCAACAGGAUUUUCUCCGUACCCAAAACUCGAACCGAAAAUCUCUGAUUAAAGGUGGAGUAGUCCCACUACUACUACACCACAACUCAUGUUGGUAAUUAUUACACGGAGAGUUGUUUAAACUAACUAACUACUCUUUUUUGAAAUUACCACAUAAGAGUUGUUUAAACUAAUUAACUACUCUUUUUGAAAAAACAAAAGAAAUUGAGGGCAGGGGAUUAUCAAAAUUGAACCCUUACUGAUAAGUGACAAGGUAAAAGGAUUGACAGUUUUAGGAACAGAGGUAGUACUAAAAUUUCCCUAACUAUUCCUCUUACUUUUAUCUUAUGAAUAUAUAUAUAUUGUACAAUGUAUUUUUCUUUUCAAAUUUAUUAAUAGUUGUGAGAAAUUGUAUAGAGAUUUGAUUUUUUUUGGGAUGUUUUUUGGAAAUGGACAGCUUGAUUUACUAUGCAUUCUGAUUUGAAGAAGGACCGCAUCCCUUAGGAGUUAGGGGUGUUCUAGCAACAAAAUUUGAUUAAAAGUUCAACACAACUUCAAAUUAUUUGCGAAGACAUGCUAAUAUCUAUUUGUUCUAAUAGUAAUAAUCUUUGAUUGAGUACACUAAAGGAUACGGAGUGAGUGUACUUUGUGAACAAAUGUUUUUCAAAAUUCAAUAAAUUGGUGUAUAUUCCACAAAUAUUUUUCAAAAUUCAAUAAAUUGGUGUAUAUUCUAUUUUUUUCAUACUCCAGUUAUGAGACUAUUGGGUGUGUUGUAGUAAUAAAAUUCAUAAACAUGAUUACUUACGAAGUUGGAUUUCAAAAUCCAUAUUCUUUGACUAAGAAAAGGAGGAACAACUAAAAUUUUGCCCUAAUCAAGCUCCAUUCUAUUAAAUGGACUAAUAAGAAGCACAUUCACAUGAUUUGAUAGUAGUUAAUUAGGGGGUGAUUAGGCCACAUAUCUUGGGAUACACAGCAGAAAGGGGACAAUUAGUUUUCUUAAACUAAACUUUAUUGUCAACCUUUGUUAUAUAUAGUAUUUGACACAAACAAAAGAAAUAAACAAACUAAAAACAAAACGCCAAACAAAAGUACCCAACACCAACACUUUGACCAAUCAACUAUCUCUCUUUCCUUUUAUCUUGGGUUUAGUAAUUAGUUGCGUGAUUAGCGGACAGGGAAAUUGCUAAGUCCACUAAGUUUUUUUUUUUAAUUAGCACCAAGAAAUUGGAUGAAAUUUUAUCUUUGCUAAAAUUGAAAAUGUUAGUAUAUUUAUUUGGACAAAAGAUCAGUAGAAUUUCUAAAGUCUUACGGUCUUUAUAUUAGAUAAUUCAAGAAAAAUGAGUCAAUCUAGGAGACAAUUAUGGAGAAAUUAGAAUGUUUUCAUUUUCAAAUAUUCAUUCAUAUAGUGCCACUUAAUUGUUUUACUUGUAUGCACAAUUAAGUUUAUCACUAGUGUUACCAUUUUGAAUCGUAGGUGUCAUUAUACACUAACCUAUUAUCUGAUUAGUAUCAAAUUUUGCAAUGUGGCAUUUCCAAAUCCUUCGUUACUUACCAUCCUCUUUCCUGUGGCAUUUCCAAAUCCUUCGUUACUUACCAUCGUCUUUCCCUUUCUUUUAUUUGUUUUUUCAUCCGGUGUUCGGUACCCGCAUUGGAGUCUGACUAAUCUAGAUUCGCCACUUCCCUGCCAAGAAUUUUUCCAUAUCCAGGAUCGAAUCCUAGACCUCUAGUUAAGGGAGGAGCAGUCUCAUCCGCUGCACCACAUCCUUUGGUGGUUGUUUUAUAAAUACACCAUUCACCCUUUUUAUGAGUGACAUAUAUGAAUUAUUUUGUUUAUUGGAUUUGGCAAUUUGAACUUUGGCACCAACACAUCACGACCAUAGUAACACCUAAAAUUCCACCACUAACACACACAUUUAAUAAUUCACACACCCAAAACUUUCCAUACUGAAAUAAAAUUCAUAUUGACAAAGGAAUAUAAUGGAGGAUUCGGUGAGGCUAGUUGCACCAUGUCAUUUUCACUAUUGAAGAGCAUGUGCAACUUUGUCUUAAUUCAGCAGAAACUCACAUGCAGGGUCAACAUUAGAGGUUUACAAUUCCUUAACUGAAAUGGAAAGAAGCAUAUCCAUACAAAAUAUAUAUAUAUAUANNNNNNNNNNNNNNNNNNNNNNNNNNNNNNNNNNNNNNNNNNNNNNNNNNNNNNNNNNNNNNNNNNNNNNNNNNNNNNNNNNNNNNNNNNNNNNNNNNNNNNNNNNNNNNNNNNNNNNNNNNNNNNNNNNNNNNNNNNNNNNNNNNNNNNNNNNNNNNNNNNNNNNNNNNNNNNNNNNNNNNNNNNNNNNNNNNNNNNNNNNNNNNNNNNNNNNNNNNNNNNNNNNNNNNNNNNNNNNNNNNNNNNNNNNNNNNNNNNNNNNNNNNNNNNNNNNNNNNNNNNNNNNNNNNNNNNNNNNNNNNNNNNNNNNNNNNNNNNNNNNNNNNNNNNNNNNNNNNNNNNNNNUAUAUAUAUCAGAUAGAAGUUGGAUGUUUGUUGGAUUUAUUGGUUGCCUUCAACUAAUGUUCACUUGUGUCUGUCUACUUCAACACUAUUAAGCUAGAAACCGUGUCUUGUUUUCUUGAUUAAUUUGAUUGUUAUUAUUUAAAACUACAACCUGGAUGAUUAAUUGCUUAAUGUCUAAUCUUUAGUCUUUCCGUCCAUCUUUACUCAUCCAUAUUUUAGUUGGUAGACUCCUUAAGAAGCAAUAAAUAAGAAAGUAAUUUUACUAGGAGGCGUGACUAGCUUUGUGGAGUAGUAGUUUGAUUAUUGCGUUUAUUUAGAAGUCAAUAAGUUAACGUGCAGUCCAUUUUUAGAUUCGGAUUUUUUAGGAGAGUAAACAUGGUUUUUUUUUUUUUUUUUUUUGCAUACUAGUUUCGUCUAUUUAAAACUCAUGUAAUAGAGUACUUUGUAGCUUCAAUACAGAGAGAAAUUCCACACUUGCGAGUCUCUUCUCUUCAUUGUUAUUAAGGCAAUGACAGUUACCAAUUGUACAUCUGCAAAUUGGUGACUUUGGGAACAAAAGCACCUAAAUUAUACCAACGCCUUGGAAAGUAUAUAUGAUCCUCAGAAAUAUAGUUGUAUGAGUAGGCUACAUCUUACUACACCUACUACUGCAUAACAUAAAUUCGCAUAAGCAAAUGAUAAAAGUUACGUGGAAACAGCCUAUUGCUAAAAAACAAGAUAAGACUGUAUACAAUAAAUCGUCGUAUUCGGCCCUUCUCCAUACCCUCAGGAGAUUUACUGCACCAGACUACACUUUUUAAAUGAUAUUUGAAUGUAAACUAUGUACAAACGCGUUCUUUCCUCUUGUGUUUAAUCUGUUUCAACUCACAUACUCAAGGAUCUUGGGUCGUUUGGUAAGGUGUAUAGGAUUAUUAUGUUAUCAUAUAAAACUUGCAAUUAGGUCAAUGAACAUCUUAUUAUUCAAUUAGAAUCAGAUACAUAUAUCCACUAGUUUAGAUUAAAGAACAUAAAACUAGAACAGUCCUAUUACAAAAACAAGCUCAAAAAUCAAGAAUCUAGUUAUCUACGCCCUCAAUUGGAAAAGGGUUCCACAACAGAAGAGAGAACAACAAGACAUUAGGCACUAGAAAUGGAAUAAAAGGGUUCACAUCACUCCUAAAAAGCCUCCUUUUGAACCUUUUCCUCACAUACUGUCUCCUCUCUUCAUCUCCCCACUGAGCUUCCUCCACUCCCCUGGCCAGUAUCAAUGGAGGGGGUUGUAGAUAUGGGCAUUUGGACCUCCAAGAUGUUUCAGGUGCACCAAGUCUUGAAACCUUUUUGAGGAAAACUGAGAAAGCCCAUCUCAUAUACACAGAAGGGAAAGUGGUUGUGGAAUAUUUGGUGCACAGAAUUGGUGGAUAGUCCCAAUUGAGGUAACAGGGGACAUGGUUAGAAAUGAAGAUUUGGGAUUCAAAAGAUGGUUUGGUUGUGGGAUCGAGUAUGAUGUGUGUUAAUGCUUGGAUUCUCUGAUCCCAUGUUGUGUCUUCCAUUUCUUUGUUAUCAUUGUUUUCUUGUUGACAGCAGAAUGGUUUAUCCUUAGCUAAGCUUUGGAUGAGAAUCAGGCAUGUGGAUGUGAGGGAACAGCAAGAGUUGCUUUUGGCCUAUUUCAGUUUGACCCUCAUAGGUUAUGAAUAUUUCAAAGUUGGCCCUCCAGAGUGUUGAAUGUAUAAAAUUUCUCUCAAGACUUAAAAUAACUCAAGAGUCGGAUAUCUAUCUAAUCAUAUUAAUCAACGACAACAACAAACUCACUAUAUUCCCACAUAGUGAGGUCUGAAGAAGGUAAGAUGUAUGCAGUCCAUACCUCUACCCCGGCUCGAGACAUCUAAUCAUAUUAAUCAAGGUUUAGAUUUGUAAUAUAAGGAAAAUAAAAAUAAAUACCAAUACAAAGUUUCCCUAGAGAGACGACUACAAUUUUGUAUUAGAAAAUCAUCGACCAUCUUCAACCAUUUUUUAAGUUCUUCAAAAAUAUACUUGCAGUAUAGUUUCCCAAUCUAACAUCGAUCCUGAAAGUAAUCAGCUCAGGUGUUGGAAUGAACCUUUCAUUAGCAUUAGCAUUAUCAUACUAUAUUUAUAUGGAAGAUCGAAUGAAAAGAGCAAUAGAAGAUAGCUCUCUUGUGGUUUGGCAGAGCUUGGAGAUACAUGUGGAACUUUGAUAACAAAAUCACCAGUUUUACAUUCAUGAAACCUGGUAGUUAGACCUUAGUUGCUGAUAAUUAAGCUAUGAUACUUUCCACAUCCAUAGAUCAACUAUUACCAAGAGUAAUCACAAGGUGAAAUGACUUCUAGAGGUGAUUAUUUACACAGUUCUACAAGAGAAACAAUUUCACGUGCUGAUGAUUUGUUUCUUUUCAUGCAUAUUCCUUGCUACCAUGUGCUAAUGAUUUGGUAAAUCAAUAGUUUCUCCACAGGCCAUGAACAGGCUGUCGACCUUCAAGGUUGUCUUAGAAGAAAAGGUGACAAUAAACACUAUUCUCACCUUCAUCCUUGGUGCAAUACCAGCAAUUUCCAUCACUUUUUUUAAAUCAGUCUACCUGAAGUGUGAGAAGAGAAACGUGAAUGCAAUAUAAAUUGGAAACACGAUCAGAGCUGAGGCCUGCAAAAUUAGAUUUCCAUAAACGAGGACAGAAGUUAGAGAAUUAUUUAUUGACAUGCAGAGUUCAAUAAAAUUCACAUAGUUGGCAGUAUCAAGAUCCUUACCACUAAGAACACCACUUCUUCAUUCGCUAAAGCCCCAGGGAGUUCGUUCCUUUCCAUUUCCUGCUUUACAAACCUCUGCAGCUGCAUAGUACUUAAGUUGUCAGAAGUUCAUAUCAUUGUUCUGAGGAUGUACAUCCAACAACAACUAAAUAAUCAGGGUGAAGUUUCCAGUUACUAACUUGGAUAUCAUAUCAAUAUAUGUGAUUGUGUUUAUGUGUGUGUGUGUGUGGAGAGAGAGGCCCGGGGGGGCACACAUUAUAAAUCAGUAUUUCAUUAAAUAAUAGACCAAGAAGCUAAGGUGUUAACUGUACAAAAGUGGUAUCUCCAUGUCCACUAAGCUCCAGAAAGUCUAUUGUUUCAGACCCUACUUUGAACGUACUCCAGUUACCAACAUAAAUAUCAAACACAAAUAUUUAUCAUGAUAUUGCUCAAUCAAGAGGAAGAAAAACUAAGCAUUGGACAGAUGAAAAAACUGAUGUAAAAUAUCACCUCAGAAAGUUAUCAACCAGCAAAGACCACUAAUUAAUCCCCACACUCCAAAUUAAGGAAAUUUGAGUACCUUGUAAUGGUAUUGUUUUGCAGAUGAAAAGGCCCCCCGCAAGUGAUGCAAAGCUUGAGCCCAGUAGGAAUUAGGAUCAGCCGCACUGUAUGAUCCAUAUGGAUGCAGAAUUCCCUUCAACGUCUCGAGGUGGUGGCCGAAAAGGUUUUUGAUGAACUGGAGAUCACAAGAGUGUUAGUUCUCUUCAGAGAAAAUGACAAGAGUAAUCAUGGAAAGCUCCAUAUACAAUGUUCCAAAGCAAGCUAGGAAAAUUUUAUGACUUCCAAUACCUCGACAAAUGGACAUUUACUGAAUGUUAGUUGCCUUUUGACCUUCGGUGCUCUCAUCUGACAUAUAAAGUUCUGAUUUAGGUUUGGCUGCAGCUUUAUUGUAGUUUUAAUAGUAAAUUCAAGCCAAGGUUUAAACAAGAAGAUACCUCUGUCAUUUGAACAGCUUGUUCAAGUUGUCGUAUCUGAAUCCAUUUUUCGGAUAUAAUGUCCGCCAUCUGUCAACAAAGUUAAAAGUUCAUCAACGAAAGAUUGCAGAAAUCAUAAUAUGCUCUUUUUUGCCACAUCUCGACUAAAAGUAAAUGCCUAGCUGGUCAUUACCUUCUCAUUUCCUAAGAAAAAAAGUAAGCACAAGAAAACCUAUUAAGAGGACAAAAGUACACUUAUCCUUUUCUACCAUUUCUUUUUCUUUGAAUGCUAUAAUUUUCCUAUAUAAUCAUAUAGUGUAUAUUGUUGAUAGUCACGAGAAUGCCAAUUGUCCAAAACCAAGAAAACCGUCAUCACUCUUGACAUCUUGUUAUCUUUCCUAUUCCUGCUCUGCUCCUAUGCAUGAAAUAAGAUCCCGUCCAAGAGCUUUGGUCUAGUGGUAAGAGUGAAAGGCGUGAUGUGUUGGUUAGGCAAACAUCACAGGUUUAAACCGUGCCCCUGACAGAAAUCUAGUACUUAUGUGGAGAAGAGAAGAGGGCAGGCCCAUUAUCCAAUGAGUUUUGAACUGAGCUUCAUGGGUCUUGGGGUUUAUAGGUUAUAAUAGUAAAAAGAAGACGGUUUUUUCAACUGAAGAGAAAUCUUAAGCGUCAUGAACCUAGUAUACAAUAAAGAUGUUUCAAAAUACUUCUACAAAAAUCUCAUUCUCAUGAUGCUGAAAGAAUACUCAACAUUUAAAAAUUUACUUUCUUCCACUUGACCUUCACAAGAGAAAUAUUAAAGGGGCAGCCCAAUGUACUAAGCUCCUGCUAUGUGCUGGGUCCAGGGAAGGGCCGAACCACAAGGAUCUAUUGUACGCACCCUUACCCCACAUUUCUGCAUAGGAGAAAUAUUAAUAACUGAAACUGUUUACUCAUGGCUUUAGCAAACCUACCUUUUCGACUUGAGAUGUAAGAAUUUCUAAUCUUUUCUCCGCAUCUUGCGCUUUGAACUCCAAUUCAUGAAUUUCAAAGUUGUUUUUUCUUGCCGCAUCCCAAAGCAGUUGUACCUACUCAAUUCCUUCAUCUUUAUAAGAUGAGAAGCUGUAUGGAGAAAAAAAAACUGUGAUAACGUGGCAAUCAUACCUUUUCUUCUAGAGCAUUAAUCCUUGAUGAGUGAUGCUGACAAAAAGAGAAAAAAGAUAGCAUUUAUGAGGAAUGGAUGUGUAUCCUUUUAUUUUUUUUGAUCAAGUAAAAGUAUUUUCAUUCAUAAACAUGACCAAAUCGGUCAUAUACAAAGGUUAUACCAAAAGAUCAAGACUCUACAAUAUAUGAAGCUCUACAAAAUCCACCCAAUCCUCUAAGCAAGAAGGAACUUUCUGUUUACACCAAAAGAAAAUAAGAGAGCGGAGACUACCCCUCAAUUACAAGAAGCUCGACUCUACACUUUCAUAAGUUCUAUUUCUCUCUCCCUCCAAACUACCCACAUUAGCACUAUCGGAACCAUCUUCCAAGCCCUUCGCCUUCUCCCCCUUCUCCCGUUCUUCCAACUUAGCAUCAGAUCUUUCAUAGUUUCUUGGCACUCCCCAAGGAGUGUGAAACCAUCUAAAGAUAUCCCACCAUAAUCGCAUGGUAAGCCCACAAUGUAGAAGGAGUUGAUUGUAUUUCCAUUUUCUCAUAUUGAUACGAGUUUCACUCAGGUUGUAUCAAUUAUAGAUGCUCUAAUAAUAUUUAGCACAAUUCCCAUAAAGGCAUGACCAUUCACCUACUUAAGGCCAGACAAUAUUAGGUCACCGAACAAAAGAUCAAAACAAGAAAUUAGAAUCAUUAGAACUGAAAAGGCUGUUUUCGGAAUCAUGUACAAUAAAUGGUAAUGUACUGGGGGUUCACAAACUGAUAACCAACAACAAAGUCACAGGGCCUCGAUAGUCCCAGAACUUGCCAAUUUUAGUAAUCAAAUUAUCAGAAUCAUACAAGGAAAUUAGGGCCAUACUGUCUAGGGUUUUGCAUAAGCACAUUAAAGUAUGUCUGGCAUUAUUUAGUUAAUAAAAGGGAGAUUACUUUACAGUUAAUAGCUAUUUCGAGGCGAUGGCACUCUUUUGAAUGAACAUGUUCCCUUAUAAAUAGAAAAGAUUCUGUGAUACAAGUACAACCACGAAGAUGGACGCAUGUGAGAAUGUAAUGAACCCGGGGCUUGAAGUGUGCGAGUGAAGGACUUAAAACACGCCAAACCGACCCUAAUCUCACACUUGGAGUGUAAGGAGGAGCCUUGGAACACAACAAGGCAGCCCCUAAAUACACUUGAAGGGAGCCUAGCUCUUAAAAGGGCAUUUUGGGCAUUUUGUAUUUUAUUUGUAACCUAGUAUAAAUAGAACAUUGUAGGGCUUUUAGACUUACAUUAUCAUGAUGUUGUAAGUCAUAAGAUACAAGAAACACAAGUCCUCUCUCCUUUGAGGCACCACCUGAAACUAGGGGCCCUUUGGCCGAAACUAGAGUGUGGAAUCACUCUUGUUGAACUCUUGGCUUGGAACGUUGGAUGCUUAGAGAGGUUGAGGUUUCCCUUGUGUCCACGAAGAGAUAGGUAUUUGUUGAGUGUAGUGUUAAGGGUCUAAGAGUGGAAUAAGCUCUUGGGUUCUUAAGAUUAUACCAUCAUUUGUCUAUCUAUUUAUCUUGUAUUUUGUAAUCAUGUACCCGUUUGUGAUCUUGUUAAUGUAAGCCGUGUGUUGUUGUUCUUCAUGUUGUAUUGUUCAUCUUGUCUUCAUAUUGAGUUGUUAAUCUAGUUUGUGGUAGCUGAUUUGGUGUCAAAUACACCUUUGUUAUUUCGUUUCUUGGUGUUAUUGUUGAAUACGAGAGUGGUCAUCAAAUAGGUCCUUGGGUUCUUGAACUUGUGGAUUGAUUUUGGUGUUUGUUUCAUGCUUCCUAGUCUUUCUUGUAUCAUUCUGCUAACCUAACCACCACAUGAAACAAAAGACUUGGCGAAGCAGGUCGAAGCCUGGAGGUAUAACUUUUCUUGUGGUAUGUCAUAUCUGGUUCCCAUACCAAAUUUAUUUGAAAUAUUUAGACCUUAGACCACAAAAGUGCUUGGUCAAUCCCUUCCAUUACUGUCACAUUGUAACAAAUUUAGAUCCUACUCAUAAUAACACAAGAUCUAAGUCAGACAUUAGCAGACAUGAGAAACUGGAAACUAGCCAAAAACCAACCUGCAAUUUGGAUAAAGCAGUUGUAAGAUUGUCAAUUUCUAUACUAAUGUCCUCAAUUUUCUUCUCAGUUUCUCUAAUGUAUUGGAUUUUAGCAUUUAACUUUGUCAUUCUUUCAUCAAGGAUGGAUUCUGCAAUUAAAUGCACCAAUGUUAAAGUUUUACAGGACCUUGUAGAAUAAUAGAUAGCAGGUGAAGCCGUAGUAUACUUCUCAUGAAAAAUGCUACUGAAUUAAUAUCUUAGAAUUCUGAAAAGCACAUAAUAAGAAUUGGAUAGAUUCAAUCAUCACAGAAGCAUAAGAAAGAACAAAAAAAAAAUUCCUGCUGGAAUAGAAAUCUGACCUUGCAAAUCCAAUGCAAAUCUAAUAGGAAAGGAGAAAGAAAAGAGAGAGUAACAUUUUUCAAUGCACGUGUUCAACAAUGUCACAAUAAUGCUUCUUAGCAUGCCACAAAUUUCUAAGGCAACAGGACAUAAAAUAUUGCCCUUGUUCAAUUGAGCCGAGGGUCUAUCGGAAACAACCUCUCUACCUUCUAUGGGUAAGGUCUGCGCACACAUUACCCUCCCCAGACCCCACUUGUGGGAUUACACUGCAUACGUUAUUUUUGUUCAAUUGAAACAUGAUUAAUAUCAUGUUUUGACUAAUACUAAGUUAAUCAAGUUUUAUACAUGUUACCUUCAUGCUGGUGUCUUAUGUACUUAUGACAAACUUAUAAUCACCUACUCCAAUCAUACAAGAUAAACCCAGUCCAAUCGUUCCCCACUGAACAAUGGUUAAGAAUAAGGAGGGGAUAAAAGAGCCUGAAUACGAAAUGAAGCACUCACAUCAACCAGUUUGCAAUGAAUUUUUUUCUUUCCCUCAUAAUCCAUCCAUGAGUAGCAUGAGUGUUUUGCACUAUUCCUUCUCCUACCAAUAAAAAAUACGCAUAGUAUUCACUUCAAUCUAAACACAAAUCGAAAAAUCAGUAAUAGCUAGAGUCAGAUUCCACUCUAAAAAUACUUUUUUUUUUGCCCUUCUACAGCUGCUCGCAGUUAAAACUGUCCUCUCCAAGUAAUCUAUUUCACAAUAUCAUAUAACACUCCAGUUCCUAUACACAUGCAAUACCACAAAACUUGGUUCAAAUCCAAAUUCACUUCUCUCAUUCUCUCUCAGCUACUAAUUACAUGGAAAUGCAGUUCUUUUGUUCGGGUGUCUUGGUUGUUUGAGUAAUUAAUUUCAUGUAAAUGCAAUUUUGCUUUGUUAUUGUAACUAUACUUGUAUUGUAUCUCUAUGCAAUUAAAUAAACCGCGAGAAACGCAAGCAUUAAGUUAUGUCAAGUCGAUUAUCUCAAUGGCCAAAGUGAUAACUGAUGAGGGAAUAAGGAAAUAACCUAAUCGAGCGAUUUUGAUCUUCGCUUUUUCCAGUUCGUACAUCACCGAAUUCUCAUUCUGCUGACUGGACAACGCCGGAAUCUGAGAUUCCGCCGGAGGUACGACCGCCGCCGUCGAUGCUAUGAGAGUAGUAAAAGUGGCGGCAGCCAAAAUUAAGAAGAUCGCCAUUUCCAGUUUCUGUUUUGCAACUGAAUGCUGAAAAAGCUGCUGCUUAAAUAGGAAUGCCACUCUUUUGUCCCUUCCUACUACGGGUGUUUCGUUCCGCCGUUAUUUUUAAAAGGAUUGUACCAUAUCCAUUUUUAUAAAAUCACGGAAUAGCUGCUUAUUUCGUGAUUAAUUAUUUUGUCUCGACAUAACUUUGUUUUAUGAAUAAUGGAUAUGUUUUUAUGAAAAAUUUGUUAUAUAAUCUUUUUUUAAAAUGAAAAUAUGAUGAUUUUAAAGAAGUGUAAAAAAAAAAUUGAUGAUAAAGGAUAAAAUAGAAAUUUUAAAAAGUGAAUUAGGAUAAGCGGGAAUAUGAUUAUUGUUCAAAGUUGAGGGGAGUUUAAUUUUUAAGAUAAAAUUGGGGAGGGAAAAUGAUUUUGACCCUAAAUUUUAUUCAUAUAACAAUUUUUUUAUAAAAACAUAAACAUUAUCUUUUAGAAAAAAAAAAAGUAAGAGAUAUAUAAGCUAAUGAUGAUCUUUAUGAAGUAAAUUAGCAUAAUAAGAAAAUUAGUUUUAUUAAUAAUAAUCAAAACCAUAAUAUUUAUUUUAACAAGUGAAAAUAAUAAGUACUACUAAUUUUAUAAACAUAUUUCAAUGCAGAAAAUACGAACAAUAAAUGAAAGAGAUAAGCCUCUAGUACCACCCCGAACUAUGGUCAAAGUUGUUACGACACACUCCAACUUCACAGGGGUCCUAUUAUCCCCUGAACUCAAAUUUAACGUAUUUUUAUCAUUUUUUGUGCUAAUGUGGCACCUUUAUUACAUAAAAUGAAGUUCAUAUCAAAGGUGUCACGCCAUCUAAAACGAUUGACAAAAGGUAUCACGUUAGCUAAAAACAUUGACAAAACUACGCUAAAAUUUAGUUUAAGAGGUAAUAGGACCCUGUGAAGUUGACGUGUGUCGUAGCAAAUUUGGUCAUAAUUCGAGGAUACUAGAUGUUUUUCUCGAAUAAAAAUAAGGUCAAAUUUUAAAGAUUAUAUUUAUUUAUAUAAAUUAUAAAAUAUGUUAUACUCUAUUAAUGACAAUCACAAUUUAUUUACUGAUAUAUACAAUAGAUAAUAUCGUUUCUUAUCACUUGAUCGGUGGUCCUCAUGCUAAAAAUAAAUAUUUUAGUUUAUCUGCUCAAUUUGUGAAAUCAAGAGAAUUGUAUUAUGUGUUUUUUCUACCCUUAGUGUUAAAUAACUAUAUAAAGUAACAGACAAAUUUAAAGUUUCAAAUUAUCAUUAAUAAAGUUAAUUUAGCAAAAUAUACUUCUAAGUAAAAUUUUCUUAAGGAUUGUGUUAUAUCAACAAAAAGUUAAGUAAUACAAAACAAAUUUAAUAAGAGAGUGAUAAAACACGAAAAUAUACACACAUGCAUGCACAUACAUAUGUAUAUAUACACACUUAGGGGUAGGUUAUUUGGAAAUAAGUUAUUCCGGAAUUAGUUAUUAUAAAAUAAGUUGUACUAACAUGUAUGUGUGAUAACACCGUGGUAUAAAUGGGGCGACAAAUAAUUUUGAGACUACCUAAUACAUCUAAUUAAAUGCAGAAUAAAUAAUUCUGAACAUUAUCUCUGAAUUAUUAUAAUUAUACCUCACAUCAAACGACUCUUUAAUUCAUAUAACACUAAAAUAACGAUUUUAAAAAUAAUAUUGAAUUUUGUGAUAAAUUUAUAAAACGUAUUAAUUUGCAUAUAAAGUUAAUAAACUUAAAUAAAAUGUAAUAAAUAUCCAUGUUAAAAAAAUAUUCAUUACAAGACAAAAUGGAUAUUGCAUGAGAUAAAGAGGAGUAUGAUUAUUGUUUUAAUCAAAGGGGAGGGGGAGUGAAAAUCAUUUUCACCCUAAAGUUUCUGACAAUUAGCUUCGUGUAAUUUAUUUCCAUGUGAUAUGAGCCAUGUUAGAGCAAAAUUCUAUGUGAUUCAAGAUCCUAUAAUUGUGGAUUUUGCAUGCCACAAGUUGAAAUUCAAAUAAACUGACUAGCCCUUGCUAGAAAAAUUACAAUGAUACAUGAUUCACAUCAGCAUUCCCAAGAGACAUACAGAUGAACUGCAGAUAAGAGCUUCCUUGCAAUGUUUCUUGCAGUCAUUGCUUCUUCAUCGCCAAAUUAGGACGCGCGGUUAAUAAUGUUAUACAAACCAAUGGUUUGAACCCAAGUUGGCACAACAUGAAAGGCGAUGCGCAGAGGUAGAGGUGAAGCCGGGAUUUGAAGAUAACGAGGCACCACUUUGAGGCAGAUGCACAGCUAUACUGUGUGAAACUCACUCUGUGAACUGCGGUUUGGGCACAUUUUGCUUACAUCAGGUUACAGGUUCUGCCACAUAACCUGGUGGCUGGGUCGCGUGCCAAUGCUCAAGGGCCUAAGUGGCAGGCUGAACAUGUGACCUGACACGUGUAUGUUUGAGGGGUCCUCUUAAAAUAUGUGAUAGCUCAAGGUAUAUAUACAUAUAUAUCGAGUCUUUUCCGAAAUUAACAUGCAUGUGCACCCCCAACCCACCACAUGGGUCUGCCUCUGGUUUUGCAAAUCAAAAGGGGCACUUGCAGGGUUCGAUGCCCCAACUCUGCUGUGCAUAUUCUUCUAUUGUUCUAUCGCUGCUAAAUUUCCCGGAACCUGCAGUAGAGAGUAUGCUCAUUUGGGUCCACUUUACUUGAUCGACAAACGCUCGAUCAGCAGCAGCCUGUCAACAUAUUCUGUCAGUUUCAAAAUGAACAAUUUUAACAGGAGUAUUUGCAAUAACAUAUUGAUUUGAAAAUAUUACCUGAGCCUCUAAAUAACGAGCAAAAUCAUAUCCCAGGAGAUAAAAGUCUCCACCAUCCUCUACAGUGUCGCAUAGCGACUUGAAAUAGUCUUUGAAGCCAAAGUAACCAUCCCGGACCAUCCUACACAUACAGUACAAUGAAAUGAGAUAAAAACUGAAACUUUUUGUAAGUUAUUACUUAAGUCUUAGGAAUCUAACACAGUGCAUUCCACUAACAAUGAUCAUUCCACAAUAAGCUUCAUCCUAUGACUAAUAAUCUUGCAGAGUGGGCUGAUCAAGGUAAUCACACUCUAGUCAGGAAAAAUCUCCAAGAACCGGAGGCAAAGCAAUGGCUUUAGUGCUCACCUGUUCUCCCAAGUACCAACUCAUUAAUGUUAAUAUUAAAUUAAGCGAAACUAUAAGAUGGGAUGAGUGAUGCCACAUCAUAAAGACCACUGGUCACAAAAUGAUACAGCCAUCAGCUUCAACAAUCACACCAGCGAAUGAGACAUGACAUAGAUGAUCAUGGUAGUGAAAAAACAGAGUAAUGUGACUGUCAGAGAGAGAGAGAAGACCAUAUCCAAUGAUUAUCUAGACUAUGGCCACAUUCCCGUGGGACCCAACAGAAACAGAAAAACUGCAAACAGCAGAUUUUGCAUUGUGGACAAUCAAUCUGUCUACAGAGAACAGACCAUAAAGGUUAAGGAAAAGAUUGCUCAAACUACAGCACAUACCUUACAACUCGUGCAAAUUGAAGUGAACCUUUGAGGGUGGUUCCUUUUUCUCGCAAUGCUGGAACCUCAUCCACCUUUGCACCAAAAAGAAACUGGAGAAGAAGAGGCAAAAGAAAAGAACAAAAUAAAGAUAUCAAACAAGGAAAUGAAGUCCAUUAAGGGGAUCAUAUCCUAAAACACUUGUUCCUUCUGUUCCUUUAAAAAAACAAAUAUUUAUCUAACAUAUUAUCUCUAUACAUGGAGUCUUAGUGCAGUUGCUUGAGGUAGAUUUUAUCCUUCUAACCACACAGUGAGCAAGUGAGGACAUGACCCUUGAUAGGAAGGGGUGGAGGAUGCGGAUUAGGGUAGAAAGGUAGUAGGUAGGACCGUAGGAAUACGUUCAUAAUAGUAGGGAAGAGAGCACUGUUUGUAUUUGUGCCUGUAGUGUCUUGUAGCCUGUUGUUCGUGGUGUUCUGGUGAUGCCUAUGAUUUCGUAUAGCUAGUAUAUAAUAUUACUUUGUGGGUGUUUUGUAACCUUUACUAUCUAACGGUGUGAUAUCCCUUUUUGUUGUUUACUUUUUUGUUUGUUAUAUUUGUUAUCUAUCCUGAGCUGGGGGCCUAUCGGAAACAACCUCUCUACUUCCUCCGAGGUAGUGAUAUGGACUGCGUACACUUUACCCUCCCCAGACUCUACUUUGUGGGAUUACACUGGGUAUGUUGUUGUUGUAACCACACAGUGAACAAGUGCAGUUAUCAUCAACAGGUGAAAUGGAGUCUAUAUAAGCAUCCUAAUACUGCUUACCAUGUUUGCUGCCCCUAUCUCUUCAGCAAUUUCAACUGCUGAGCCAUCUGCAGUUGCUAAUAAUAAACAACCGUUCAUCAAAAAUUUCAUGCAUCCGGUUCCAGAUGCCUCAUGUCCAGCAGUACUGCACCAUAAUACAUGAUUUCUAUGCGUUGUUAACACAUACAUGAAAAAAUCCUGGUACAUCAAGUUUUGAGGGAACUGUGCAUACUGGAGUUACAGAUUACCAGUUAAAGAAAGCAAUAACUUUCAUAAUGAAACAAGGAUGCAGUCAAUGCGAAGUUUGACCAUCCAAAGAGGAAACAUAUUCCGUAUACUGUAGUUAUCGGUACCAGUUAAAGCAAGCAGUGACUUUGGUAAUGAAACAAAGAUUUAGUCAAUGGGAAGUGUGACCAUCAAGAGAGGGAAUAUGUAAUUUUAUCCUACUUAGAACAGAAACAAAAGAUGUUAUCAGGUAAGACAGUGUGUUUGCACGUGUUAAAAGUUAAAAAAUGGAAGGAAAUGCACAGGCUAGACACUGACCUUAGGUGCUGUGAAAGAUCACUCCCUGGAAUUACAAGUUCGGCAACAGAGACAUUAUAAUCAGGGAUGAAAACCUGAAACGACAGAAGACGAGUUCAUUUCUAUUAAGUCCUAGCUAUCUAUAAUGACAGCAGAAAAAUAGAAGCACAGAAAUUCUGACUACUGCGUUAUACCUACGGUCCAGGAACAGUGCACAUGAGCAGUCAAUGGGGGAUGGGGAAAUGAAACCAAGUAUGAAAUAUAAAGUAAAGCCUGAGUAUCUUUUAGAUCAAUGACAUGACGAAGGGAUGUGAAGUCUUGUGAAACCCAACAAUUUCAAAAUUCUGCAGCCAAAUAGUAGAAGUGUUUUCCAUAACUUCCCUCAAAAAUUUCCAAUUAGGGCUAACUCUAAAAUGAACACAUCAUUUCAGGAGAAAGGUUCAUGGGACAGAUUGUUAGGGCCUAAGAAAGUAAUGCUUAGAACCUGCUUGCUAUUUUCUUCCCUUCCGUUUUCUUUUAUAAUUUCCUUUCAUCAUCCCAUGUUGUAUUUUCAAAAGAAGAUGAAGUUUCUGAAUGGACAUUCUCAACUUUCAAAGAGCAAAGCAUGAACAAUGGUUUCGUAUAAACAUGAUGAGACCAUACUAAUUGAGUUCAACAGAUAAAUCAAAUCAUGGUCCUACCACUUUCAGGAGAUCCCCAACAUCAGGGUCGUUGUUAACUUUAUCUGCCACCGCAUGACAAAGUUUGAUUAUCUUCUUUGCAACUUCAUAACCAGGGGCAGCUUUCCCACCAAUAAUACAUACACGAGGUACAACUCUUCGCUUGUCACUUUCAUCCAUAUUCUUCAGAAAAUAAUGACAGUAUGAUGUAUCAGGGAGAUGAUUUGUUGAAUACGGUUCAGUAGAAACUUUUUUGAGUAAUAGUAUAGUUCAACCGAAAUUGUGAAGGAAAAUAUGAAACUUAUGGAGCUUCUUCUAGAAGUUAGAUGAUACUUAAUAGGCAUAUCCAUAUUCUGAAUAAACAAGUUAAGUUAGAUUUUUUAUGUGUUUAAGCAAAAGUGAUUUUGGAGCAUCCAUGAUAUUCUACUGAAGAAAUGACGGAAAAAAAGAAAGAGAAAUAAUAUCAGGACAUUGGACAAAGACAGAGAUUCAAAAGGCAAGAAGAAGAAAUUUUUUAGCUAAAACAGGUGUUUCUAUUAGUCUUGAAUCUUGAUACUUUUCGAAGCUGGUGGUGAAAUCAUGUGUUCUCUAUUUUCGAAAAUGACUUGGUUUCUAAUCUGGUUCAACAACAACUGAACUUAGUUUCUGUGGACUUGUAUUUGGCCUUGCACAUAAGCAUAUAAGUCCAUGAAAAAUUCCCAUGGCUUGAUUCAAUAUAUCUGAACCAGCGUUCGCAAAAAUAAGUGUCUUUAGGAUCAAGAUUCAGAGUUUGAACUCCAAAAAGAAAAGAAAAUGUCAGUGAUACCUAUCUAGGUAGAAAGUGUUUUUCCUGGCACCUUUUAAGACACUUCAUAUUACCAAAGCUGGCCUGUCUGAGACGCCUUCUGAGCAGGGUGAUAUUUGAACUACAAACUGGUUUAGAAAGUACAUUUGUAUGUGGUUAUCUCCACUGGACAGUCAGGUUUGGCUCAGGAAUAUUAUUCUAAGAAGAAGAAAGGAGAAAUAGAAGAUACCUUAAUGCAGUCAUAUCUGUGGAUGAUACCUAAUAUGUUGAGCAGUUGUCUUUUGUAUGCAUGUAUUCGUUUUAUCUGCACAUCGAACAUUGCAUCCAAACUGACCUGUAAUAUAGGGUAUAUAGCUUGGUCAGGCAACAACAGACAUGCGGGUUGUCUUGCAAAGAAGGAAGUGAAAUGGAUAUGCUCAGAAACCUUCACACUGGUAAGUGUUUCAAUGUACUCAGCAAGCCUCAUUUUGUUAACUCUCUUCAUCUGCAAGUCAGAAGUCCAAAGGUAUUGGAGACUGCAAAACAAUAAGCAACUACUCUUUUCAGAUUGAGGUUGCAGAGAAAAAUAUCAUACAUUCUUCCAUUCAGUGUGUAAAUCAGGAUCUUUUGCAUAUUCUCUUAAACCUGCUAUGAGGUCAAUAUUUCGGAUCCAUGCUUCUGUCCCAAGCCACUUUGAAAUGAUCGAACACAAGCUAGGAUUGCUCACCACUAUCCAACGGCGCUGACAUAUAACAAAUUAAAAUUGUGAAGAACGUAGCAAAAUGCUUCAAAUUUAAUUCAUAUAAUCAUUUUUACAUGCCCAUGAUGAACUCCAAUGAAAGAUCUCCCACCCCCAAAUAAAAUUUGUUAAUGAUGACAGAAGGAAGAGACAGAAUAUUUUAGAUUAGAUAUGAACCUUGUUAUUAUGCAAGUACACACUGCCGACUCAAGGCAGUAAUGGAAAAUCAGAAGCUUUCUAACAUAAAGAAUGCCAGAAUUUUUGGAGAAUAUCUGUCAAGUCUAAACCUGAAGCAGAAAUCUUGAAACUGAUAAGAGUCAAUAAACAAGCAGUCAAUUAUGCACCUGGGUUACUCCAUUAGUCUUGCACUGAAAUUUCUGAGGCCACAGCUCAUAAAAGUCCUGCAAGACACAGCAAUUACAAAAUGAUCUCUUUCAGAAACAUCGUUUUCACUAGCUAUUUCUUGGGUCGUGAGCAAAAACUAAUAUGAAUAACAGACUUACAAAAUAAGUCCUCCGGAGUUGUUUGAUUUCAUUAAAAUGAGACAUUAUAUAAACUCUAUAUUAUUAAUCAUACAUUCGGUCGCCAGUUUAUGUUCUGUAUAUAGAAUCCCGCAUACUUAUGUUGCAAUUAUGUAUCAUUUUGUACGAACUAUAAUGUGGAAAAAAACAAGCUGCAUAGCAUCAACUUGUUAAAAAUACCUUUUAAGUCUCUUUAGAUAAUGAAAACAAAAUCAUGAUAGUGUUAAUCUAAGAAUUAAUAAUACCCACUACAACUUGUACAUCUUAGUAAUUAUAAAACCAAUUUCGUCAAAAGUAAAUAUAAAAUCAUUUUUGGCAUUUGUGCUACAAAAGUUCAGUCUUCAGUUCACCUCCAUCUUCAAAACCUUUAGAAACAUUCUUUUCAUUUUCCCAAAAGAAAAAAAAAAGGAAAAAGAAUCUUGCAUAAUUGUUUACUGUGACAUUCUUAGUUAAGCCAAACUUAUAUCCAAUCAAAGUUCUGAAAGAUGACAAAGAAGUGAUGUCUGCGUGAGGUGUCAUUGGAAACGAUUGUUUAUCCAGUUUUAAACCAAAAAUGGUUUAAGUUAUACAUCAUAUCUUCCUUAUCAAAACAAAAAAAAAAAAGGUUAUACAUCAUAUAUCUAACUUUUAUUACAUUGAAUUUCCUCAUGUUACCUUCUCAAAAAAAAAAAUUAUUGAAUUUCCUCCAAAAAGGUUAUCCAGAUCAAGAAAAAUUCAAUACAUUGAACAAAUUGCCAACAACAAAUGAAUAUGCUUCAAAAGUCAAAUGUUUGUUAUUCACUAUAUUAUAUCUCUGUAUAACUAGUCCAUCAACCAAACUCACCAUGUAGCAUAAUUGGUCAUAUAGCACGGAGGGAAGAAAUUAAUAGGACACGCUUGUUAAAUUCAAGCUGAUUAGUUAAUUCCUUAUUAGACAAUUGUGCUCUCUUCAAUCUCGCAAAUAAACUGAGUAAAUAAGAACAAGAAGAAAUCCCAAGGGGUUAAAUAUUUCUUUUGACAUUAUAAAGAAUCUAUACAGUGAAUUGGAUAGAAAUUUUGGCAAAUCACUCUCUGAAAUAGUCCCUAGAGAGAGUGACAUUUAUUUAGUGAAGGUAAAUGGACAUAUUUAUUGCAGGAUUUAAAUCAAGUUCUCAUGAAAUAUUGGGCAAAAGAGAAGAAUUAAAAAAAGUGCAGAAUCAAAAUUACCUUAAACACUCGUGUUUUAAGUGUCUCUAGAUGCACUCUGGAAACACCAUUCACAGUGUGGCAACAUGCAAGUGAUAGGUUUGCCAUCCGAAUACUCUGUCCAGGGGAGCAAAGUCAAAAUUGGCAAUUGCAGAAAAACAAGGAACUGAUACUCGGCCUGGUUUUGACUAGUGAAAAUGGCAUAAUGCAAAUGCAACAUGGAUUGUCAGACGAAUGUGCGCCAUAUAAAAUCAAGCUGACAGUGAGAAGUAACAAGCAUGAACAUCAUAAACUUUCUUUUAUUUCCAUCAAAUAACCUUUUUCCUAUCUGGCCUCUAUUCCUCUCUCACCCCUCUCCCACCUGCCCACCCUCUCGCUUCUUUGUUAAGUUUCAUAAACAAUGAGUUAUGUAACUCAAGCAUCCAGAAUUCAAAGAAAACUACUGAUCCUAGUGUGUGGAUGUGGAAAUUUGCAGUAUUAGUAUAUCAUUGGUACAUAAUAUGGAGCGACAUUGUUGACAAGGAUUUUAUGAGCUGGCCAGACAAAGACGGAUUGAAGUUAUAUAACUGACCCCAACUGAUUGAGUAGUUGUUGUUGGUAUAAUUGUACGUUUUUGGGCCACCUACAUGUCACUGCUACAGGUUGGUCCAGCUGAAAAACGUCAGAUUUAUUUUUAUUUUUUAAAAUCUUGGUGGGAAUAUACUGGGUAUGCUGUUGCUGUUUAAUUAGCAGGAAAACAUCAAAUUUGAUAUACCACCGAAAGCAUUAAUUAAAACAGAAGCGGAAUCAAAAUGUUGUCUUCUAUACCUUCACAGCACCUUCCUCAACAAUUGACAUUCGGGAAAGUCUAUCAUAGUCCUGACCAAAACUCUUUUUUAACUCUUCCAUGAGACGAUGGUUUAUCUCAUAUAUAAUCUGGAACAAAAUGUGAAUCACUAAAUCAGAUGACGAGAUUUUUAACAAAAUAAGUUGAAGACAAUCACUCCCUAAUUGGCAAACACAUAAAACAAGCUAGCGUUGGUGUAAAAAGGAUGACACUCUUUAUAGCUGAAAGAAAACCAAUUCAAGCACAAACGAAACACUACUAUGAGAUAAUUUAAAAUCUUCUGUAAGAAACAUACCUCUAAAUGCCGAGGAAGAACACUACCCAAAAGAUCCACGGGGAUUUUCUCCAGCCCUUCAGGUUGUACUGCAUGAAUGGUGACUGAGAAAAUACUGCAAGCAAUGCCCCAUGCUUUACUCCAGUCCAAGUUUUCUUCAUCAACAAGCACUCUCAUUACCUCAGCAAUGGAAAUUGAUGGAUGUGUAUCAUUUAUCUGAAGAGCAACCUGAAAAGAAAACCUCAAAAAGAAUAAAUUAGCAAAGCAACAAUUUGGCUCUGAAAAAAAGGCCUACUUUUUCCUUUUCCUUUUGAGAUCCUAAAUUCCUGUAUGAAUGCAAUAAAUAAUGACAUCUUCAAAAUACAUUUGGUGUAGGACAAGCUAAGAUUAAGUGAGGUCCACGUAGAAAUUCUUUUAUGACAUUUCAUCAGUAAGAGUACCUCAAAACAAGCUAGUCCAGAUGCCUAGAGUCUUUAAGUUCAAUUGAAAGGAGAAUUAACUUAAAUAGUGCAAAAUAGAACCAAAUAUAUUAAAACUAAAUAGAGAGAUUACAAUAGGCACUUGACCACUAUCUUUUGCACUGUAUAGACUUUGUUUUGGAUUCAAAUGUGAAACAUGCAACUAUUUAGGAAUCAUGUCGUGAUAAUUGAGGCUUAUACUUCAUGCAAUGCCUUUUCAUCUUAAAAAAAACAAAACCAAGUGAAUUGACAAACUUAGCUAAGUCUAUGCCUUCAGGCCAAAAUUGUCGGUAGUGUAAUGAAGAAACAAGUAUUUGUUUAUACAUGAUAAGCAAACUAUAAGCGCAUGGUUUUUGUGCAUCCUGUAGCAAGGUCCACUGACUUGAGCCCAUUGUUUUAUGGAUGGCAUGACUUUACAAGCUUAUAAGGAACUCCAGACAUUACAGGCCCCAAAAAUGUCAGGUAAAUACCUUAUCUGGAAACUCAUCAAAGUUGCUAUGUAAAUCCUUAAACCUCCUUAUUAUGUCUUGUAGUGAUGCUGAAACGAAGAAAUAUUGUUGCUUCAACCGCAGCUCCUUACCCUGAAGAAAGAACAUCAAAGAAAUUAAGGAAUAUAUUGCUCAAAAUGGUUGGAGAAUACAUAAGAAACCCAUAUGAAGAGUACAUUCUCAAGCUUCAAGUUGCACCCAAGGGUGUGAACCUAGUGGUCAAUGAAGUGGAUUGAAAAACCAUGAAGCCUCAGGGUUCAAAUUCCAGAGCUGGAAAAAAUACUUGGGGUUUUCGUCUCACUUAUUCAAGCCUUGGUGGACAGAGACCCAGAGUUACCACUUACCGGUACCCCUGCUAGUAAGAGGUAGCAGGUACCCUGGAGAGCUAGUUGAGGAGCUCAUAGGCGGGCUCAGACACCACCAUUAUAACAAAAAAAAAAAGUUUCUCAAGCUUCAAGUUUCAAUAUAAGCUCCCAUAUGGUGAUUUGGAAUUUGAAAUUUGCAAUUCAUGUUCCCAUUUCCAAGUUCAGCUUUCUUAAUUUUGUUAAAUUUCAGCAAUGUGGUUCUUUCACUCCAUGCUUUUUGUAUUUACAAUGGCAUCUUCUUUAUUGGCAUUUCAUUAUGAUCUUACAGCAUUCGACCUCAGUUUUAGACAUAAAAUUUUGUAAUGUUAUUAGAAAAUAUACCAAAUAUCAAGUGAUAUAGUAUGAAAUGUCUUCAACGUAAUGUAGCAUUAAUUUCUUAUAUUAUUUAUACUGAAAUUGUGUGUUACUCCACCUGUCCCAAUUUAUAUGACUCACUUUCCUUUUUAGUCAGUCCCAAAAAGAAUGACACAUUUCUACCUUUAGUAAUAUUUUUAGCUUUAAAAUGUCUAUUUUACCCUUGAUGAAAUAAUUUAUAGCCACACAAAUAUCUAUGACUUAUUUUAGACCACAAGUUUCAAAAGUCUCUAUUUUUUUCUUUCUUAAACUCCGCGCCGAGUCAAAUUACCUCACAUAAAUUGGGACGGAGGGAGUGUAUGUUAUUGGAGAGAUAGUAAUUGGGUGGUACUGAAAAGAAUUUUACCAUACUAGUCAAUCAAAGACCAACAUAUGACUUUACAAAUUGCUAACAUGAUGUAUGUUAUUGCUGUUAGAUAUAUCUUCAAAAUAAGAUUAUGUAACUUUGCUUUAAAUCCAACAUAGAAUGGGGCAGGUUCAUAACCCAGAGGCUAGCCUCCCAAGGAAAAGAAACUCUACAUUUUAUCAACUUCCUCAAGACAUAAUAUGGAAUGAAUAUACCUGGUAAGAACGGUCAUCAGGGUACAACACAUUACUUAUAGUUUCAGCCUUCUGUCUGUUAACAAUAGCAUUAAUAUAGUCCCCGGUGGUGUAGGACUCCUGCAAGUGAUGAAAUGGGGACCACGUAGAAGUUAAGAGGUAGAGAGAUGUCAAACAACAUAAUAAGAAUUAUUCUCAAGAAACUAACUCUGAUUUGUGCAACGAUAGGUAAGUUCACAUUUGACGAAAAAAGAAAAUGACUAAUACAGAAGAUAAGUCCCUCAAAAGUAUAUAGAUGCCUCCUCUACAGCAUCCCCACUGGACAUCGUCAGAAACAUUACUAUACAACAUGGUAAAAAAUUACCAUAUCAUAUUGAUCACUAGGUUUAGCAGCCCACAAUCGAAGGUUGAUGGCAUUUCGCGUGCCAUAACCAGGUAUUGGGUUAUCAUAAGCCACUGCUUCAACCUACAAGCAAUAGAUACAGAGAAUAUCAAGGAAUAAUAUUUCUCACUUAGCAAUUUGACAUGACAAUUAAGUCUAAAUUUCUCAACAAAAGAAAAACUUACAAAAUACAGAAGCACUUACUGAUUCUCCAGGUAUCCAAAUUUUACAUUUCUUUCCAUUUAAAACUUCCUCCUCAAUAGUCCCAUAGAACUAGCAUAAAAAGCACAUUGCGAGUCAGCAACAAGUAUAAGUAUCAAUUAAAAAGAUUGAAGAAGAUAAUAUCAAAUACCCCCACCUGCACCUGGCCAAGACCUAAAACAAGAAGAUAAAAACAUGUUUCAUUUAGAUAAAUUACUGAAAGAGAUGGAAAAGUGAAUACUUCCGAACCUUCACUGGAUAUGAUACAUGAACACGCUCUAUCUCCCAGGGAUUCCCAAAAUUCAACCAAAAAUCGGGUUGUUCGUGUUGAAAACCAUCCACUAUGAUCUGACGAAAUAAUCCAUAUUGAUAGCGUAAUCCAUAACUGAAGAUCAAGAGAUGUAGGUUCCCAACUCAAUUGACCUUUUUAAGAAAACUUCAAGAUGAUAAAGGAUAAAUCCUAGAAGAAAAGCUAGACACCAUUAGGUUCAGAUCCUAGAAUUCCAAUUUUAGAUUGGGAACUCCAUAAAAGAAGCCCACCAAAUUCUGGAGGGUCCCUAAUAGAUAAUUUGGUUUCGGAAAAAUACAAAAACUCUACUUAUAAAAGGAAAAGAAAACAAAAGAACUAUACGAACACUCUGAUCUUAUCAUCACAAGGGUGGCUAUUAUCUAAUAUGAAAAUGCAGCCAUGAAACAGGAUGUUGUUAGAAAAAAGGCAGAGAUCCAGUUAUUCUGACUGUUUUUAUUAUUUAGUGUGUUUGGGAAAAGCGAGGAGAUUCAAAAGCCAAGUCCAUGAUGAAGCAAACAACAUAAGAACCAAACUGAUGUUUAGACAACGAGAAAAAGGAGCCUGGACCAUACCCCCAAGCUGGAUAAUCCAAUGUCGCUAGCGAAUCCAUUUGGCAAGCUGCAAGGCGAGCAAGGCCACCAUUACCAAGGGCAGCAUCUCCUUCCUUGAAAUGAAUGAACGUUAGAAACAAAAUCAUCACAGAUAAUUUAUUUAGGGGAGCAAUGGAACAGCCAAAUGUGAGUAAGAUGAAGAUUGAGAAGAAUUUGCUAUCAAUUGUAAAUAAAGUUUCUUCAAAAUUAGAUUGAUUAGCAGAAUAAUUUACACCGCCUAUGGAUGUAGGGUAAACUGUAAAAUAAUUGUACAAAGCAAGGCCAAUCAAUAAAUUUGUGCUGUGGAUUUGAAAUUAUUGCAUUUUCAUAUACAAGAUUUAUCCUAUAUGUCCUCUAAAUGUUACUCAGAAAUUUUCUAGUUUAACUUAAUUCAUAAAUUAGUUCAUAUAAUCCAAAGUAACCGCUAAACAUACUCAUUACUUAUUAGUUUGUGACAUGUUACAGGCUCAAAAAAUUGCUAGAGAAUCAGAGAUAGCGGAUCGAGAUUUCACCAACCUGCUCUGCCAAGACUUCAAAGUCAAAUCCAAGCUGAGUUAAGGCAUCAGCAUAUUGGUCCUGAAUGCCAAGGUUUAUGACACUGUUAGUCAGAGACCGACCUGACAGAUCAAGUAAAGACAAAAACUUAAUAAGACGAAAGAUUCCAAAAAGAAAACUAAGAAUGAUUGCAUAGAAAAGGCCUAACUUUGCCACAAUUAAAUGCAACAAAAGAAAAUGACGUUCUGAGCAUGUGAAUGUCAAGUACCCAUAAGAAAUUCAAGGGAGAGGAAGUAAAUUCGCUUAGGAUCUUUCUUCUUAAAGUGCAGGUGAGUAUCAUGCCAUCGCUCAAUAAGCCGAUCCCUGACACUAUGUGCUAAUGCCUGCAUUGUCCAUAACUUCAUCGUUAACAGCUACUAAGUGGUAAUAUGAAAGGCAUAAUACACAACCAAAUAUUCAAACUUGGCCCUCAGCUGGCAAGUAAGCACUCUAACUUGCCAGCUAAGCACUCUAACUCCGAGAACGCACAUCCAGACACCUCAACUUGGUCUCAACUAACAACACUAAACACCCAACUCGUCCUUACUGUCUAGUGGACACCGGUUACUGACGUGGCAUUCUGGAGGUCUCUAGAUGAUCAUUUUGUAAGUUGAUUGCUCAACUGACACGAUGGAGACGAGUUGAGGUGUCGGAAUGUGCAUAUUCAACUUGUUUAGCUGUCAGGUGAGGCCAAAUUUGAGUGCGGGACAUACCUGGUAAGCUUCAAAAUCAUCAAAAUUAAAUCUUGAUCUAGCAACAGUGAACUCAACAUGAUCAAGAAUAUCUUUCUGUAAACUAAUCGAAUCGUUCUUCAAGAACCCAUCCAUCAACCUAAACAUCUUCUCCGCUUUCGCCUUCCUAUCCCCAAAUUCCAUCAUCAGCCCACCUUUCCUCACAAUCACGCCUCUCCCACUAACCGCCUGCGAAACUCCUUCACCACCACCACCAUCAUCCCCAUCAAUUGCUUCCAACAACGCCUUCUGUAUCCUCUCCAAAUGCUCCACUUUCUCAAUCUUCUUACCAUUAGAAUCACUAACAAAAAACUUCUUCAGAAAGAACUCUCCUUCAAAUUCAACUAUAGCCUUCUCAAUUGUAAGCCCGAGAACUUUGAACACCCGGGUAAUAAUUUGAAGAAGCCCAAUUCGGUUCUUGGCCCGAAUAACGAAAAGGGUCGUGUCUAAACCGUCGUCGUUUUGUACAUUGAUGGUAGAACUAGAACCAGAAGCUGUUUCGGUAACGGCUUGGUCAGAAGUAGUGGAAGAACAGACUAGUAGUUGUAAAUGACGGAAGUUAUUGGAGGAGAGCGAAGUACUGGAAAAUGGACGGUUGAGAUUGAAGAUUGAUGGAAAUGGGAGGUUGUUUAGAGGUGAUCGGACGGCUAGGAGAGGAACUGAGAUGGCAGCCAUUGCUCAAAAGUUGAAGGACUACUGAAACUCAAGUGGAGUCGUCCUAUUAGUGAAGUGAAGUAGUACAACACGGGAAAAGGUUGACCCCUUUUACUCAAAUAUCAUACACUACAAAGGUAAUAAAUAAAUAAUGUAUUAUAUCUUAAGAAAAGUAUUAAAAAGCGGCACUAAAGCUACCGCUAUGCAUGAUGUUUUGGAGUGUAUUGUAUAUAGAUUUACCUUACAUUUCUGCCAGAGAUUGUUUCCAGUACUAAAGCUAUACGCAGCACUAAAGCUACCGCCAUGCGUGGCAGGUCAGGGUUCAUUCUAACCCUCUUCGGUAGAAAAUUAUAUUAUAUAUAUAUGGUUAAAAAUAUUUUUUAUGUAUAUAUAUUAGAUGUUGAAUCCCCUAUUUUUUUAUAUCUAUAUAUUAGAUGUUGAACCCCCUUUGAUUAGUUUUUAUAUUCACUUAUGAACCCCUUAGCGAAAAUUCUGACUCUGCCACUGAUGCGUGGUGUUCGGGAGUGUAUCGUACGCAGCCUUACCUUACAUUUUUGCAAGAGGCUGUUUCCAAGGCUUGAACCCGCGACCUCCUAGUCACAUGGCAGCAACUUUACCAGUUACUCCAACGCUCCAUUGUCUUAAGAAAAGUAUUAAGCGAAUAAGAGUAAAAUUGAUUAUUAAAAAAUAAACUAUUUAUUAAUUUUUUAAAGCUAGAUAAGUAUUAUUGAACAUAUAUAUUUUCUUAGUGCAGUGAAUAAGUAGUGUAUCAUUCAUUUUUAUUUAUUCAACUAGAAGUGCAAGGCCCGUGUCAGCACGAGGCCAACAAUAGAACAUGUGGAUUGUAAUUUUUAAGUUUUAGGAUUUAUCUUGGAGUAGAAAAUUUGAGCAGUAAAAUAUUUUCAUUAGUAUGAUUGAGCUGAGGGGAUCACAAUUGAAACCUUUUUUUAACCUUCUUGUUGAAUUUUGCGAUCAGAAAUAUAAAGAAAGAUGAGGCGUAAAUCUGAUGAAAUAGCUUAAAUCAAAUAUCCAGUAGAUUAUUGAUUUUUAAUAUCGCAAAGAAUAAGAAUCAUGUAAACUUACCCGAUAAAGAGAAUACACACCUUAGAUUCGUUAUUGUUUUGUUUAAUUAUUAUUUUUAAAACAGAAAAAGAGUAUUAUUUUUUAAUAGAGAAGGAAGAGUUGAGAUUUUCUUUUCUUUGUUUUAUUUUUAAAAUAGAGAAAUGUUAAUUAAUAUUGAGGAGUUGUUAAAAGUUGAGAAAGAUGGCUACACAUAAUUGAUAGAAAAUUUGUUAAUGUUAAGAAAGUGCGAAGUGUUUGAUAGAAAAUUUGUGAUAGAUACACGUUUUUUGUACCUAAAUUUACUUUAUUUAUAUUUAAAUUAGUUUGUAAAAAUCUUUUAAAUAAUCUUUAUACUUCUUUUCUUUAAUUUUUUUAAAAUAUAGUAAUAAAAUUUACUUAUGUUUUAUUCUUCUCACACUUUACUACAUACAUUUUAUCCUCUUUAAAUCUCAUUAUGCCAUUUUACCCUCUUUAAACAUCACUGUACAUUAAAAUUAUGAUUGAAGCAGCUGAAGCUUCAAUCAGUCAAUUUUUAAUUUUUUUUUGUUAAUUAUUUUUAUUUACAGUACUUUUUAUUUCAUUUUCAAAUAAUAUAUGUUGUUUUAUAUCUUCUUCUGUCCCGUCUCAAUUUAUGUGNNNNNNNNNNNNNNNNNNNNNNNNNNNNNNNNNNNNNNNNNNNNNNNNNNNNNNNNNNNNNNNNNNNNNNNNNNNNNNNNNNNNNNNNNNNNNNNNNNNNNNNNNNNNNNNNNNNNNNNNNNNNNNNNNNNNNNNNNNNNNNNNNNNNNNNNNNNNNNNNNNNNNNNNNNNNNNNNNNNNNNNNNNNNNNNNNNNNNNNNNNNNNNNNNNNNNNNNNNNNNNNNNNNNNNNNNNNNNNNNNNNNNNNNNNNNNNNNNNNNNNNNNNNNNNNNNNNNNNNNNNNNNNNNNNNNNNNNNNNNNNNNNNNNNNNNNNNNNNNNNNNNNNNNNNNNNNNNNNNNNNNNNNNNNNNNNNNNNNNNNNNNNNNNNNNNNNNNNNNNNNNNNNNNNNNNNNNNNNNNNNNNNNNNNNNNNNNNNNNNNNNNNNNNNNNNNNNNNNNNNNNNNNNNNNNNNNNNNNNNNNNNNNNNNNNNNNNNNNNNNNNNNNNNNNNNNNNNNNNNNNNNNNNNNNNNNNNNNNNNNNNNNNNNNNNNNNNNNNNNNNNNNNNNNNNNNNNNNNNNNNNNNNNNNNNNNNNNNNNNNNNNNNNNNNNNNNNNNNNNNNNNNNNNNNNNNNNNNNNNNNNNNNNNNNNNNNNNNNNNNNNNNNNNNNNNNNNNNNNNNNNNNNNNNNNNNNNNNNNNNNNNNNNNNNNNNNNNNNNNNNNNNNNNNNNNNNNNNNNNNNNNNNNNNNNNNNNNNNNNNNNNNNNNNNNNNNNNNNNNNNNNNNNNNNNNNNNNNNNNNNNNNNNNNNNNNNNNNNNNNNNNNNNNNNNNNNNNNNNNNNNNNNNNNNNNNNNNNNNNNNNNNNNNNNNNNNNNNNNNNNNNNNNNNNNNNNNNNNNNNNNNNCUUAUAGCCAAUUAAAUAAAUAAAAAAAUUUACUUUUAAUAUGUAGUUAUAGUUAAUUAAUAUAAAUUAAUAGAAUAUAUUAAAUAUUUAAACCAUUAUGAUGAAACAAUGGAAUAAUUAUAUAUUGGGGUAUGGUAUGUAAUUAAGUGGGAGUAGAGGAGUUUUUAGGUAAUUGCAUAAGAGGUGGUCGAAACCACCUCUUCUAUAUAAUAGAAAUUUAAAUAUUUUAAAUUGUUAAUUAUUAUGAUUUGUAGUACUUUUUCUUUUAUCUCAAUUUAUGUGGCAUUGCUGAAAAAAUGAAAGUCAAUAAAAUUUCUAUAUAUCUUUUAAAUAUUUUAAAUUAUUAAUUAUUGUGAUUUGUGGUAACAAAUUAGUUUUGAACGUGAUAGCCAAUAAUAAAUAAUUUUUUUUUUUACUUUCAAUAUGUAGUUAUAGUUAAUUAAUAUAAAUUAAUAGAAUAUAUUAAAUAUUUAAAAUCAUUAUGAUGAAAUAAUAGAAUUAUUAUAUAUUGGGGUAUGAUAUGUAAUUAAGUGGAGUAAAGAGAUUUUUUGGUAAUUUCAUAAGAGGUGGUCGAAACCACCUCUUCUAUAUAAUAGAAAUGUAUUUAUUAAAAUAAAUGUCCAUAAUAAUUGAGGUGUUUGAAAAAUCAAUUCAUUUGUAUCCGUUUUAUCCUUAUGGAAAAAUUACUUAAAACUACACCUUAACUUUUCAUUAUUACUUAAAAUCCCAUUCCACUAAAUUAAUUACAAAAAUCUCUUCUAACUCAUAAAACCCUAAUAUUUGCUGAUACAUUACAACCCACCCUAUUUUUGCGCCUCCUGCUCUUCAAAACUCGCCCAAAAUCAUGGAUAAGUAUCCGAUAUUUUUCACCAACUCAGCAAUUUUGAAUUUCAAGCGUGUUAUCUGCCACUACUUCAACAUUCAAGUUUCAACUUUCAAUUACAAUCUCCAUUAACUUUCUUCUUCAAAUUUAUAGAAGGUAAGUUUGUUUUCAUCAUUUUUUUAUUAUAAAGACAGUGAUUUUUUGUGAAAAUAGAUCGAAGUAUCGUAACUAUUUGACUAUGAUGAAGAAACUGCGGGUGAUUGCUGGUAGUAGCAAUAAGAAGCAUAUUGUUGCAUCUGGGAAGAGGAAAAAAAAACAAGUUAAAAAAAAAGUUUUUUUUAUCAAAGGUAUGAAUUAUACGUAUUCUUGUUAACAUAAUGUAUCAUAUGAAUAAAUAAGUCUUCAAAUCGGGGAUUUCGAUAAUAAUAGAGAUGUGUUGCAGAUGAUCAUAUUGUAUUCAUACAUAUCUGUUUGUUCUGAUACAUCAUAAAAUUUAGGCGUGAUUUUGGUUCUUUCUACACCUGAUCGAUUCAAUAUAUUAUGCCUGAUACAUAGAUCCUAGAUCUAAGUCUUAAUAAGACAUUGCAUGCUUUCUGACAUAUAAUUCAACCUAUAUGUGAUUUUGGUUCAUUUUUAUACCCGAUACAUUUAAUAUACUGAUUAUGAUACAUAGAUCUAUUUUCUGACCAAACUAUUGAAUGUUUUCUGAUACAUAAAAAGAUUUUUAUGUGAUAUGGGUUUUGCAUUCCUGAUACAUUAAAUUUUUUACUCCUCCUACAUUUAAUAUAUGUAUGUGAUAUGGAUUUCGUAUUCCGGAUACAUUAAAUUUUUUACAUAGAACGAAAGAUAUAUAGGGGAUAUGGAAUUUGUACUUCUGAGACAUCAAAUUCUUAUAUUGUGUUUAAUUUUUUUCUGAACGCAGGGGAUGAGAUUUUUUAUGAUGAACAUGGAAUGAAUGAUUGGAGGAGGAAUUAGUUUUGGAAGAUUAUGAUUGAUGAAGCUUGAUUUGACUGACUAUUCAAAUUUCAAAUAAAGAAGUUGUUACAGAUUUUAUGUAAUUAAACAGACACAAUCUUAAAUUGAGUGUGUUAAUUACUAAAUUGUAGGCACUUUUACUGUUUUUUUCUUUUCUUUUUAAUCUCCAAUUAAUUAGUUUAGUAAUGUAUCAUAAACUUAUGUAUAGGAGAUUAAAUAAUGUAUCAUAUCCGGGAUAUUAUGUUAUUAAUAUAAAAGUUGGCAGAGAGAGUAGUUAGGUAACAAAAUGUUGGCAUUUAUGUAAAAUACCCUAAAUUUAAAGUUUCAGAGUAUUACUAUCUUCGUACAUUUUUACUUGUUCAAUAUAACAAAAAUAGUUGUACAACUUUAUUUUUUUCAGUUUAAAAAAUUAAGGGUAAAUUUCUCAUUUUAGUCUACUAUUGUAAUCUUAUUACUAGAUAUUGUUUGUUUCUCAAUAUUUCAAUGACUUUGAUUAUCAGGAGAAAUAUGAUAAAAUUAUUUUAUUUAUUUGUGUUUUUUAAGAAAUUUGCAAAGUCAAACAUGAACAAGUAAGAACGAAUGCAGGAAGUACAUUAAUAAAGUUAAUUUUAAAAAAUAACUUCAAUUAUUUAAAAAAAUAUAUGUAAAAUUAGUAAGGGUUAAAUAAUAUGAAACGAGGUGCAUAUCAUUCUAGCCCUAUUUUAGUAAUAGAGAAAAUACAUCAAAUCGUCCCCCAACUUGUUGCCAAAACUUACUUUAGACCCUAAACUAAUCGGCCAAUUAUAUACCCCCUUAAGAACUUUGAACUGAAUUUUAUACCACCCCAAAAGUGUUAUACCACUUUCAUUAUGGAGAGUGUAAUACACUCGCGUCAUGUCAGAGCCACGUCAAUAAUUUUUUUUAAUAAUUUUCAAACCAAUUUUAUAUAUAUAUUAAAAAAAAAUUAUUUCUAACCUUAUUCUUCAUCUUCUUCGACACCCCCACCCCCACACUAUGCACCAUUUUCCAUCUUCUCCAGCGCACCCCCUCCCCCCACCUCCCCACUAUCUCCACCACCAUUCUUCAUCUUUUUCACCGCCCCCGCCCCCACCCCCACCCCCACGACCAUUCUUUAUCUUCUCAUCCCACCCCACCCACUUUUCCACCGCCAAAUUGAGCUUCACCAGCUCUCCUCCCCCUUUCUUAUUCUUUCUUGUUCAACUUUUUUUUUUAUUCUAAACUUAAAUUUUUGAAAUUUGAUUUAUGAAAAUUUAAAAUUCGAUGAGAUUGUAUUUUGUUAGUGAAUUGGUUGUGGAUUUCAGAUUUUUCACACAGAUUCAAUGGUCUCACUCUCACUCUUUUUGGUGUUGUGAACUUGCAUUUUGAUUUGUAGAGCAAUAAUUGUUUAUCUUUCGAACCCAACUCAAAUUUUGGCAUAGGAUACUACUGUCUAUCUUUAUUUGAUGAAAAAUUAAUGCUUGAUUACUUGAUUCUUGUCUUCUGCUAAUGUUUGGAUUCGAUUAAGAACCCACAAUGGACAAACAAAAAAGUUGGAGAAGACAACCAAAUUAAAAAUAAAAAAUAAAAAGUGGGACCACAUAAAAAUUUAAAAAAAAUUAAGUAAGAUACUAAAUAAAAGAAUAAUAAAUAUAUUAUUAGUUAUAUGUUAUCAAAUAAAAUAAUGCCACGUGUAUGAUUAUAUUAAUUCAGAUUUUCUUUCUCUUUUUUUUCACACGUUUUUUGGAAAGUGAAUACACUCUCUCUGUUAAGGGGUGAAUUUAAUUCAGUUCAAAGUUCUUAAAAGGGGUAUAUAAUUAUCCGAUUAGUUUAGAGCCUAAAGUAAGUUUUGGCGACAAGUUGGGGGUGAUUUGAUGUAUUUUCUCUUAGUAAUUUGCUUUUAAACUUUAAAAAGUUUAUUCAUUUUUUAACCAUAAAAAUAAUAUUAGAAAUUCAUUAAUAUUGACUCUGAAAGAUUAGCGUAGGAUAGAUUAGGACAAAAGAUUAGUAGGAUGGAGUGUGAUUUUGAUAGUAGUGAAGCGUGUUUUGUUUUAUUAUUUGUACUAGAUAAGUAUUGGCCAUGCUGAGCACGUCACAUUGGAUUUUGAUAUAAUUUUUUAUGAGAAUCAUACCACAACUUAAAUUAUCAUAACUAUUUAAAAUCAUAAUAUUUUUAAAUAAUUACAUAUAUCUUCAAUUUUAUACGGAAGAAUAUAAUGUAUUUGUGUAAAAGUAAGCAAUAUAUCUAUGUAAAAAUUAACAUAUCCGAAAAAUGUGAUGUAUUCGUAUGGAUUAUAAUUAUGAAAAACAAAUUGAGAUAGAGAAUAAUUAGCUCUAAAAGGAUUGAGAGUUAGGUUACUUUUACAAUUUUUUUAUUUUAGUGUUUGUAUUGGUAAUGAAGAUAAAAGCCUAAAACAUUCAAUUUACUUGACAAAGUGCAAAGUAACAUGAGAAAAUUGAAGGAAAGGUGUCUUUUAAGUCUUGAAUGAAGGAUUGAUGACAUUGACCAACAGAUAGGGUCAAACAUCAUAAGGAAACUUGAUUAAGUUAAUUGUGGACCUGAUUAAUAUUUUCAGAACUUUUUAAUCUUUUCAAAAAUACAAAUCAACCUAACCCAUACCCCUCUUUAAUCCAAAUCAACUACUCUCUCCUCUCUCUCGACAACUUCUCUCAACUCUCUCCCAACCAAUAGUUCUGUAAAAAAUUUCCCUUCAACCCUCGACGACUUCUACCUCCGGUGAUAAAUAAUUGGGCUUCGAGUUCUCCUCCUUUCUCCCUUCAACCCCCGGCGACUUCUACCUCCGGCGACAAAUAGUUGGGCUUCGAGUUUCCCUCUUCAAUUCAAUCAACCUGUCUCUCAUCCCUCUCUCGACAGCUUCUCUCAACUCUCUCCCAACCAACUGUUCUGCAAAUUUCUCAUUUCAAUCCUUGGCGACUUCAACAUCCAACUACAAAUAGUUGGGCUUAGAGUUCUUUUUCGACUUCAACCUUCAAUCGACGUGACAACCUUGCUCUCCGGCCACAACAACUUCGAAUUCUUCAUCGUUCCUUUUCUUCUUUCACAGGUAAAAAUUUAUGGCCUUUUUAGUUUUGAAGAAAACGAGAAACUUGAGCUUCUUAUAGUAUUGGUUAACAAUUUCAAUAUUUGUUGCACUAAUUUGAAAUGCGGUCUGAAAUAGCCUUUUUAUUGUUUGUGUUUAUAAAAACAAAACGACAAUUUGGUUUGAUUUUGUCACGACCCGAAAUGGGGCCCUGACCGUGACGAGUAUUCCGAACCAUAAAGCCCGAAACACCCCUAUCUGUCUAAUAAUCAUGCACAUAAUUCAUGACAAAAGAAAUGCAAAAGAUACACAAUAUAACAGAAACAUGGUCAAGAAUCAUAUGAAAACGAAAAUGGGGAAUAGUGUCCCACAAUCUAAAUCAACAUCUCUAAAACCGUCUGCAAAAUCUNNNNNNNNNNNNNNNNNNNNNNNNNNNNNNNNNNNNNNNNNNNNNNNNNNNNNNNNNNNNNNNNNNNNNNNNNNNNNNNNNNNNNNNNNNNNNNNNNNNNNNNNNNNNNNNNNNNNNNNNNNNNNNNNNNNNNNNNNNNNNNNNNUGUCGGAAGAAAUUUACUGGUUAUCUGGACCCCUAGACUGUGCCUUCGAACCUGGGAGGAAAGGGGAUCAAUACAAAAGUACUGAUACGCAGAGAAAUCAAAACAGAAGUAUAAUAUUUUUUACAUAAUAUAGGUGAGAGACAUUAUAAAACAGUUUCAUAUCAAAUCAUUUGAAAACACAUGGGCAUAAUGUAAUUGUUUUCAAUAACAAUGAAAUGCAACUGAGCUAGGUGGAAUACCCUACAUAAUUUACACCAACUGUCAAACCCCGGUUGCCGCCGAGAUUAGAGUAUACGUGAGGGGAAGACACACAAGAUCACACAGCAUGGUGUCUCGACCCAAUGGUAGUGCCCAAGAUCACUUAGCUCGGGCUCCUACCUAUAAUCCCAAUUUGGGAAUGACGUAAAGUUAAGUACUCAAAAUCACUUAGCCUGGUACCAAAUUCCCGUGUCGGCAAACACGGUUUCCAGGGAUAAUCCCUUACACUCAAACGCCCUCUUCGGGCAUCCACCUAUCUCAUGUAAAAUCAAUGUAUUCAAAUUUCAUUAGAUUCAAUCACAUAUCAUAUUCUGUAGGGUAUCGUCAUACCCGACUUGCAAGCCAUCAAUAUCACAUCAUUCUUCUCAUUCAACCAUUGUAUUCAACAUGAAUAACCUUCUCGUGUUCAAGUCAAAAUCAUAUCAAUUCUCAAAACAUUUCAUGUAAUGCUCUUCAAGAUGUUUCAAACAAUUUACAUCAUAUGAAUAUUUAAAACAAAUUCACAUCAAGAGAGGAAAUUUCAUAUCAUUCAUGCUCUCAAGUUAACAUCUUUUCGGAAUACAUGCAUAUACAUAUAUCAUUAGCAAAUCACUUUGGGAGUAGGCCUAAAGGCCAAAUCAAUAUCAUAAAACGUUUAAAACAUAAUCAUAUUCGUAAUUUCAAAACCUCAUUUGAAAACAUGAAUUUUUAAAGCCCAUGAGAUUUUUGAGAUAACCCCACGCACCUCUNNNNNNNNNNNNNNNNNNNNNNNNNNNNNNNNNNNNNNNNNNNNNNNNNNNNNNNNNNNNNNNNNNNNNNNNNNNNAAAACCCAUGGUUGAAUCUUGAACUACUUGGGUUUUUAUUUUGAAACCCUAGAGAGAGUUCUUGAACAAUUUUGAUGAAUGAAGGUGUAUUUUGGGGUCUUUGAGAACUGAAUUUCAUGUUUAGGGUUAAGUAAGGGUGGAAGAGGACCAUUUUGCCCCAAAAACGGAGUGUUUAAGUCACCUGAAACCUUUACAUGGGCGCUGCCUAUGUUAUCGCCUAUGUUUACAUAGGCGCCGCCUACUACUUUGAAAGGCCAUAAUUUUUUGCUCGGAUGUCGGAUUUUAGCAAAAUUGGUAUCGUUGGAAAGCUAACUCGAAGACCUAUUAUUUGACACAUAGUAGGCUCUCUAAUUCGACAGAUAUAGAGUUAUGGUCAAUGGAAGCUGACACAAAUUACAACGUCUACUAAAACUUAACCGAUCGAAAUAGUUUCAACUUGUCCUUGAGUUGAAGGACCUCUAUGGUCUAAAUUCAAGCUUGAAUGUAUUCAUAUACUACGCAAAUAAUUAACAUGCCAUAUUGGCAUAGGAUUAUCAAUGCAUCGAAAUCAUGGUUUUUAUUCUAGCCCAAAAUGCGGGGUGUUACAGUAUCUCCCCCUUGGGAUCAUUCGUCCUCGAAUGAUGGGUAGGAAUAUAUUAAAGCUUAGAGGUAUGAAAUAAUGUGGACAUGAUAUGUUUCUCUAAGAAAGAAUGCACUGAUCUGAAACAUGACCAUAAGACUGGAACUACUGAUGCUCUAAAUUCUUAUACCGGACGUGCAUAUCUGAUGUAUGGAUUUGUUACUGAGUUGUUCUCAUGAACACGGAACUGAAUACACUGAUAAGCUGAACUUUUUCUAUUGAACAUGCAUUUCUAAAGUAUACAUAUCUGACUGAACUGACGUAUGAAUGUAUGACUGAAUACGCAAUGAUAGCUGGUGCGAGGCUUGUAAUAAGAAUCUAUGCACGCAACUGAAUGGGGUAUCUCUCCCUUGGUGCCCUAUGUCCCUCUAUGAAUGCUCAAUUCACUAAGAUGCUCAGAAAACUGAGGUGAUGCACUAGGCAGCUACAAAUUUAAUCAUAACUGAACAUCUGGAUUCUGAAUCUAGUACAUGACGCAUGAAUUGAGCUAUACUCACAAAUACUAGUAUACUCUAUCUUGGAAUAGUAACAUAUCUGAGAUUUUUGGGUAGCAUGAUUAAAUAAAGAGACGAGAAAACAAGUCAUGCGAAUCUGACUGCUAAACUGAUUUGCUGGCCACAUAAACUGAACUAUACUGGAAACUUAUACUCAAUCUGGAGUAUCUCUUCAAUACUCUUACUAAAGAAGUUCUAGCAGUAAUAGGGAGCCACGAAUCUUGGGUAUGGAUUACACGAGACAUCCAAUUGAGGAAAUCACAAAAUUUACUCUACUCUGCAGUCUGGAAUAUAGACAUAUAACUCAUAAAUCAGGAUGGAAUUACCAAUCCUUAGUCAAUGCGACUUCUUACUUUCAAGCUUAGCACACUUCUNNNNNNNNNNNNNNNNNNNNNNNNNNNNNNNNNNNNNNNNNNNNNNNNNNNNNNNNNNNNNNNNNNNNNNNNNNNNNNNNNNNNNNNNNNNNNNNNNNNNNNNNNNNNNNNNNNNNNNNNNNNNNNNNNNNNNNNNNNNNNNNNNNNNNNNNNNNNNNNNNNNNNNNNNNNNNNNNNNNNNNNNNNNNNNNNNNNNNNNNNNNNNNNNNNNNNNNNNNNNNNNNNNNNNNNNNNNNNNNNNNNNNNNNNNNNNNNNNNNNNNNNNNNNNNNNNNNNNNNNNNNNNNNNNNNNNNNNNNNNNNNNNNNNNNNNNNNNNNNNNNNNNNNNNNNNNNNNNNNNNNNNNNNNNNNNNNNNNNNNNNNNNNNNNNNNNNNNNNNNNNNNNNNNNNNNNNNNNNNNNNNNNNNNNNNNNNNNNNNNNNNNNNNNNNNNNNNNNNNNNNNNNNNNNNNNNNNNNNNNNNNNNNNNNNNNNNNNNNNNNNNNNNNNNNNNNNNNNNNNNNNNNNNNNNNNNNNNNNNNNNNNNNNNNNNNNNNNNNNNNNNNNNNNNNNNNNNNNNNNNNNNNNNNNNNNNNNNNNNNNNNNNNNNNNNNNNNNNNNNNNNNNNNNNNNNNNNNNNNNNNNNNNNNNNNNNNNNNNNNNNNNNNNNNNNNNNNNNNNNNNNNNNNNNNNNNNNNNNNNNNNNNNNNNNNNNNNNNNNNNNNNNNNNNNNNNNNNNNNNNNNNNNNNNNNNNNNNNNNNNNNNNNNNNNNNNNNNNNNNNNNNNNNNNNNNNNNNNNNNNNNNNNNNNNNNNNNNNNNNNNNNNAAUUUGAGUGCCUUACUUGGUCAUUCGUUCUAUCAUCUCCCCCUUAGCUUUGAGUCAUCAUCUAGAGUUUAGGAGAUCCCUUACCAGAUUCUAACUGAACUACACUUACUGCACUCUAGGGUCUGAAAGAAAAAAAAUGACAAUACAUGCAUAUCGUAGACUUAACCCGAAUGACUACCUUCUGGGAUACACUCUAUCUUUCCAUAGCCACCAAUAGUCAUAGUAUAAUGCUUGCACACUUAUUUCUAUCGGUUCAACCUUCAAAACUCGAACUUAGAUUCUAACACUUAACAUGGCUAUUUAGAUCACCAUAUACCAUCUAACUAGUCUUUUUCCACUUAACAAUUCAAUGGUACCACUAGCCACACAAAUUAUGUAAUAGUCUUAGAAAAAUAUGCCGCAACCUCAUAUUACCUUGGAAUACUUCUACACCAUACCUACAACAUUAUACUUCAUUACGAAUCAAUUUAAACUUAAGCUAUUUCAUACACCGUUCAAGCCUAUUAGAUCACCUUCAUAUAACUAACAUCAUUGAUCAGGAAAUCAUCACAUCCACCUUUAUGAACUUCAACUGUUCAAACUUAAUAUCUAGUGCUAAAAAUGAUUUUACAACCCAACCUUACGCAUGAUUCUCACUUGGAAACCAUGAAAUAAACAUCAAGAAACACUGGCACACUAGAACUUCAUAACAACAAUGAUCGACCUUGACCUUACGGUCUUCCUUAUCAUAACUCAUUACCACGUACUAUUUCAACACAUCAAGCCUGCUAAUAUUUAUUCCCACAAACAUACAUCAUUAAUCUCAUGCCACUAUUCUUACAUCCACAUCCUACAUUAGAUUCAAUCCAAUAGUCUAGCAUCAAUCAUCUACCACCAAUGAUGAGGGAAACAUAAUAUACUAAUCCAUCAAAUUGGAACAUUCUAUCCCAAAUACUUCAAAAUCUGCUACAUACCUUCUCAUAAGUAGUACUAGUUUACAACUACCAACAAAAGAAGGUCAAGGGGGUAAGGUCACAUAAUAGACAUGAUCAACCUUAAUCUUAUAUUAUAAUUCCAUACAAUCUUUUCUACUUAUACGGAUUUCUGACCUUAUACUUACUCACUCAAUCAUACCUUUAGACUACCUUCAAUUUCCAGUAACCAUGAGUCUAUAAUUAUAACUUAAUGGCUAAUACAACCAUUUUCAUACUUCAAGCAACCGACAAAUCACCCUGACUAACAACCCCUUCUCUACCUUCUACUAAACUAACACACAAGGAUGAAUCACCUCUUUACCAACUCAAUCUCAUGCAAACAGACUCAGCUAUACAUAUAUUAAACCAACACAAGAACAANNNNNNNNNNNNNNNNNNNNNNNNNNNNNNNNNNNNNNNNNNNNNNNNNNNNNNNNNNNNAAUUUUUUUUCAAAAACACCAUGAUAACAAGAUUACAUAUUACAAGGGAUAGAAAAUGGACACAUAAUAUUUAAUGGUCUAAGAAUAUACAUAUUAUUCUGUAUAAAUAAAAAUCUGAGUAAAACACUUCCUCCAUGGACUACCAUACCAUCCACACACGCUGCUAGCUACCACAUUGGUUUAUCACUAUAAAGGGGUAAAUCACCCUCAAAUAUCGGUUAUUCAACUAAAACAUUUAUUUACACAAAAGUCAGACUUCUAACUUUGUGACUUCACAUCACCGAUUUCUUGGUCUAAUCUCACUACCAAUAGGUCAUGACACCGACACUUUAACUCAUACUACUAUUCGGGUGGAAAUACAGUUCCAAUAAUUCUGCUACACAUCAUUUCCUUAAGCAUGACAUCUACCAUAUAAAUUUUUGAAAAGGACUGAAUACUCUUAAUACUGUAGGCUGAAAAGCACGAUUUCAUCAAAAUCAAGGUUUACACUAGAACCAACACAUUCUGAAGCACUAACGAACUCUUAUCAAGUCCUUGCAAAAAUCUUAUAUGAUUCGAUUAGAACGAACCAUACCAUUUAGACUCUAAACUUCUGUACUUGAAUCGCCCCAGUAAUGUGACGGGUCUGAGAACAUCAGAGUAAGGAAAAAAUUUGGGAUGAUUGUUACUUUCGUAUGGGCGACACCAUAGCACGAAUUUGAGUAUGAAAGAGGAACACUCUGACUCUAUUGCACGAACUAGAACAUAAAGAAAAAGAGAAAUUCCUAAACUCCUAGUAGCCUUCUGCUUAUAAGUGUGGCACGCUACACACCCAUAAACAAGACUCUACUCGAUGCAAUUUUGUAGACACCCUGGGACUAUGAAACGUGCUUUGAUACCAAGUUUGUUACGACCCUAACCAGGGUCCUGGCCAUGACGAGCAUUCUGAAGCAUCAAGGCCCAAAACACCCCUAUCUAUCUGAUAAUCAUGCAGAUAAUUCAUGAAAAAAGAAAUGCGGAAGAUACAUAAUAUACGGAAACAUGGUUAAGAAUCAUAUGAAAAUGAAAAUGAGGAAUAAUGUCCCACAAGCUAAAUCUACAUCUCUAAAACCGUCUACGAAAUCUCUACUACAUGACUGAAAUAAUGUCUAUUUGAAAACUGGGACAAGGCCCCCAGCAGACCUAAAACUAAUAAAUGAUAAAUGAAAUAGCAGACGUCAGGCCUUCCAAAAUAUAGAAGGCUCACCACUUGAUUCUGCGAUCCAUCGGAAGAAAUUUAUUGGUUAUCUGGACCACUAGACUGUGCCUCCGAACCUGGGAGGGAAAGGGGUCAAUACAAAAGUACUGAUACGCAGAGAAAUCAAAACAGAAGUAUAAUAUUUUUUACAUAAUAUCGGUGAGAGCCAUUAUAAAGAAGUUUCAUAUCAAAUCAUUUGAAAACACAUGGGCAUAAUGUAAUUAUUUUCAAUAACAAUGAAAUACAGCUGACCUAGGUGGAAUACCCUACAUAGUUUACACCAACUGUCAAACCCCGGUUGCCAUCGAGAUUAGAGUAUAUGUGAGGGGAAGACAUACAAGAUCACACAGCAUGAUGUCUCGACCCAAUGGUAGUGCCCAAGAUCACUUAGCUCGGGCUCCUACCUAUAAUCUCAAUUUGGGAAUGACGUAAAGUCAAGUACUUAAGAUCACUUAGCUUGGUACCAAAUUCCUGUGUCGGCAAACACGGUUUCCAGCGAUGAGCCCUUCCACUCAAACGCCUUCUUCGGGCAUCCACUUAUCUCAUGUAAAAUCAAUGCAUUCAAAUUUCAUCUAAUUCAAUCACAUAUUAUUUUUCUGUAGGGUAUCAUCAUACCCGAAUUGCAAUCCAUUAAUAUCACAUCAUUCUUCUCAUUCAACCAUUGUAUUCAACAUGAAUAACCUUCUCGUGUUCAAGUCAAAAUCAUAUCAAUUCUCAAAACAUUUCAUGGUAUGCUCUUUAAGAUGUUUUCAAACAAUUUACAUCAUAUGAACAUUUAAAACAAAUUCACAUCAAGAGAGGAAAUUUCAUAUCAUUCAUGCUCUCAAGUUAACAUCUUUUCAAAAUACAUGCAUAUACAUAUUUCAUAUAGCAAAUCACUUUGGGAGUAGGCCUAAGGGCCAAAUCAAUAUCAUAAAAUGUUUAAAACAUAAUCAUAUUCGUAAUUUCAAAACCCCAUUUGAAAACAUGAAUUUUUAAAUCCCAUGAGAUUUUUGAAAUAAUCCCACGUACCUCUAUACGCAAAUAUGAUAGGUUCUUCUUGAAGCCUACGUUGCGGAGAUUUCAAAUCUUCAAUUUGUUUUGAAAACCCAUGGUUGAAUCUUGAACUACUUGGUUUUUAUUUUGAAACCCUAGAGAGAGUUCUUGAAUAAUUUUGAUGAAUGAAGGUGUAUUUUGGGGUUUUUGGGAACUGAAUUUCGUGUUUAGGGCUAAGUAAGGGUGGAAAAGGACCAUUUUGCCCCAAAAACGGAGUGUUUAAGUCACCUGAAACCUUUACAUAGGCGCUGCCUAUGCUAUCGCCUAUGUUUACAUAGGCGCCUCCUAUGCUAUCGCCUAUGUUUACAUAGGCGCCGCCUACUACUUUGAAAGGCCAUAACUUUUUGCUCGGAUGCUGGAUUUUAGCAAAAUUGGUAUCGUUGGAAAACUAACUUGAAGACCUAUCAUUUGACACAUAGUAGGCUCUCUAAUUUGACAUAUACAAAGAUUUAUGGUCGAUGGAAGCUGACACAAAUUACAAGGUCCACUAAAGAUUAACCGAUCGAAAUAGUUUCAACUCGUCCUUGAGUUGAAGGACCACUAUGGUCUAAAUUCAAGCUUGAAUGGAUUCACAUACUACGCAAAUAAUUAACAUGCCAUAUUAGCAUAGGAUUUGUGGCUUUGGAAUUAUCAACGAAUCAAAAUUAUAGUUUUUAUUCUAGCCCAAAAUGCGGGGUGUUACAGAUUUAUUUUGUUCUUAUUCUUGGUAAAAAUGGUGAAAUUGCUAUUUUUUGUUGAACAAAAUUGUGCUACUAUUUUUUGUUUUCUACGACAGAUUACCCAUCUGGUGCAACAUAUUAACCAUCUGAUGCAACAAAUUUAUUAUAUGAUGCAACAGAUCAACCAUCUGAUGCACCAGAGAAACCAUCAGAUUAUAAUUUUGAUGCAACAGAUUAAUAAUCUACUGCAAUAACUUUACCAUAUAUUGCAAUAGAUUAAGCAUCGAAGAAAAAAUUUGAUGCAACUAAUUAACCAUCUGGUGCAAUGAAAGAACCAUCAGAUUAAUGAUCUAAUGCAAUAGAUGAACCUGGAUAAAAUCCUAUCAACUCUUCCUACAGGAAAUGUCCAAGACUUGAUUUUUCCAACUGAUCAUUCAUUUGCCGCGAUAGACGACCCUAUGUUGGAAGAAAUCUAAACAAUAUUGACCAUUGAUAACUAUUCCAACAGAUCACUCAUGUGUUGCAAUAGAUGUGUAAACUGUUGCACAAACCAUUUAUCUUUAUCAACAGAUGAGUGAUAUAUUUUGUAUUAUCAUGACAUAUUAUUUAAAUAUUCCAACAGAUCACUCAUAUGUUGUAACAGAUGAUUCACAAUAGUUGUGUGAUCUGUUAAAUAGACUAUUCAUCUGUCUUAAAAGAUGAGUAAUAUAUUUUGUAUUGUUGAAAUAGAUUACUCAUCUGCUGCAACAGUUUGGUUAUAUCCUACAAUAGAUAUACUACCUAAUGCAAAAGAUCGGUGAUCUGUUGCAACUGUUAUUUUAUUGCUUUGCUUGUUUGAUUUACUAUUAUCCUUUUUAAUGAUGCAUUAAUCAACAAUAAUAUAUUAUUUUAUGUUCCUGCUAAUUUUAGAUAAUAUGAUUCCCAAAAGAACAGAAACCGAAUCAAGUCCAAGUAAAGGAACAAGUGAAGCAGCUAGGCUACAUCCACCACUCUAUGAGCUUGUUUUACAAGCGUUAUCUCAAUCGGGAGCAGAAUAUGAUGAACAUGGAGAGUAGGGAUAUUUCAAAAAAGAUGAUGCAGAUGCUAAUAGCCCUUCUACCAAAUAGCUGGUCAAAGCCUUCAACAUUGAUCGUUAUCCUAUGAGAAUGCAGUGUGAUGGUGCCGCAGAUUUAACGGGUGAUUUCGUGGUUAAGUCAGCCAUGAGAAAAUCUUUCGAUGCCUUCAGAAAAAUACUUCAAGAACAAAAAUUGGAUUCUUAUUUCAGGGACAGCUGCUUUGGGAAAUAUCUUGAUUUGCCGGAGGACAACAAUGCUCGAUUCUAAAUGAAAAUAGUUUAUGAACUUCUCAAGCAGAGGUUUAUGUAUGAAAACAAAGAUAAGAUGGAUGAGGUGUGGAUAAAUUACUGUGGCAUACCUGUUUAUUUUGGUUGGAAGGAGUUUGCCAUAGUUACUGUACUCAAAUAUUAUCCUCCUUCUCAAAUUAUACCUAUUCUAACCCCAAAAAAGCACCCCGCACACCCAAAAAAGGCAAAGACAAGUCAUGUGAUUGUGAUGAACUGAUGUCCAUUGUUGGUCCAAGCUUCAAAAACAAAAAUUUAAUAGAAGCUUUGAAAGGUAAAGGACUUUCAAAGAAGCACAAGCAGUCAUUGUGCUUGAUUUGGUUUGUACAUAAUAUUCUUUGGGCGAGAGACGUUAAAAACAACAUAAGACUCGCUUUAAUAAAGCUCUCCGAGGAUCUUAAUGCAUUUAACAGCUAUCCUUGGGGGUAUGAAAGCUUCAAAAUAAUUGUCAAAUAUUUGUUGACUCCCUUAGCGCCAAAGACAGUCAACUUAUAUGGCUUGCCAUGGGCUUUCAUGGUAAAUGUUUCUUUCUUCUAUUAUGAUAUCAUUUAUUUUUUUCUCUCAAUAAUGGUUUUGAUUUAUUGGCAUUAUUUUAUAGGCUUGGGCGUUUGAAGCCAUUCCUUAUUUGAGACAACAAGUGAACUACCAGGAAGGAGUUUUCUGUCCAAGAAUCUUGAGAUGGUUGUCGGCCAAAACUGAUAAAAAUGCAAAAUUUCUUGAUCUCUUCAACCCCCCAAAGGAUGCAGUAAGUAUAAUUAUAAUUAAUUUUUUCUUUUAAUUAAUGAUUUUUUUUGAAUGAUCUUAUCAUCAUUCUAAUAUAUGUAAUGAUUUAUGUUAGAUGUGCAUCCAUCGCUAGUUUCGACCUAUCGAGAGUUGAAGAUGUCAUUUUUUCUUACUUUACGGUCUGUGCAAACUUUAUCGGACCCUAAGGUCAUCGACAGAAUAAAAAUAGAAUUGUUUGGAGCAACAACCAUUACAAGAAAAAUAAUUUUGGAGGGUGGGAUUAUUGUUGUGAUGGUCUUAGUGGUGAUGGAGCUGUUGGUGGUGGUAGUGGUGCUGCUGUUGGUGCUAAUGAUGCUCCUCUUAUAGUAUUUAAAGCAAACCAUUAUGAGUAUGAUCAUACUGGUUAUACAGAUUUUGCCUUUCCUAGCGAGUGUUCUGCAUGCAAAUGUCAAGACUGCAGGGCGAAACAUGAUGUAGUGAUUAAUGAUAUUAAUGCAUUAACUUCUUUUGUUAAGGAAUUGACAUCUAAGAGAGGUAUUAUUCCAUCAAAGAGGAUUUUAUUUCCAUUCGCUCCAUUAGAGAUUAGGGCUAAGAGGAGAAGAAGAGUGAUUUCUAAGGCAUUAUCAAACAUCCAAAAAAGCGAAAUUGCAACUCCUCUGUCUGUGUGUUGCACUGAGCAACGUAUAAUGUCCAAAGGAGAGCAACACGAGCUGAAGAAGGUGAAUAUAUUAUAUGUCUUCCAACUGACAAAACAAACAGACAUAUAUCUGUUUCAACAGAUGACACAUCUGCUAAAAAUUAUCAAAUAGAUAUAUACACCUGUUGCAACAGUUGACUAACCAGUUGCACCAGAUAAACAUGUCUCAUCAGUAUUAGAAAAUCAAAUAGCUCUUCGUACCGCUUUUAUUUAUACCAACAGAUGAUUCAUAUAUUGCAACAGAUGGUUCAUCCAUUGAAAAUUAUCACACAGGGUCUUCCUCAUGUAGAAAUUUGUCCUAAUAGUUGAUUCAUUAUUGCAACAGAAAUAUAAUCUGUUUGGGAUAAUUUAGAAUGGGAGGAAGACCUGUUUGAUUUGCUAGAAGAGAUAAGUUAUCCCUUUUUAUUUUGUUGUAUCUCCGUGAUUAGCAUUGACCAAUUCUGUCUUUCUAUGUAGAUGUAGAAAAAGCUACUGCUGAACAACAUUAACAAUAUGCUACUCUUUUUAUGGAAAUACAAAGAACAGAAAGUGCAGAAAUUGUACGUAAGGGACAAUAAAGAUCCACGACGAGCAAAUCCGAAUUUCAUAGCUCCGGAUGAAGAACAACUUGUCCAUACUGAGUAGAUCUUUAUAGGUUGAGUUUGUCAAAGAAAUCCUUGACAGUAUACUUAAAUCGUUGUUGAUGUAUUUGUUGAGAUCUGUACCCAUAACAAUUUUUUUACAUUUUAUUUAUUUGUUGACUUAUUUCAGCUAAUUUAUGAAGGCUUCGAUUUAGUUUAUUUUGUCUAUGAAUUUUAUUUAUUCCUUAGAUUUGAACUUAUUAAUUGAAAAGGAAUACUAGAUUUAAAUAUUGUAACAGAUAAUAUAUCUGUUGCAACAGACGACACAUCUAUUGGAAAAUUCAAACAGAUUUAGACGUAUGCUGCAACAGGUAGGUGAUCUGUUAGAAUUUAUCAAACAGGUCUUCCCACUGAUGCAACAAAUGGACUUUAGAUAAAAAUAUCAAGAUAAUGCAAUAGAUGACACAUCUAUUGGGAAAAAAAAGAACAGAUUUAGACAUACGUUGCAAUAGAUGGACUUUAUCUGUUGCAACAGAUGACACAUCUAUUAGAAUAAUCGAACAGAUUUAUACAUAUGUUGCAACAAGUAGGUUAUCUGUUGGAAUUUAUCAAACAAGUCUUCCCACAAUUCCAACAGAUGAACUUUAGACAAAAACAUCGAGAUAAUGCAACAGAUGUGAGAUGACCAACCUAUUGCAUCAGAUAAACUAUAUGUCAGAACAGGUAGGAUAACUGUUACAAUGGAUGGAGAAUCUAUUGCAUUAUAAAAAUUCAACUUUUGUUGGACAUAAAAAAUUGCCACUACGUUUAAAAAGGUUAAAGUGAAUUGAAAUAAAAAAGGCGCAACCCAUCGAUGGUGUUCAGUUCAAACACCUAAAAUAAAAUAGGCAUCAAGUAGACAUGUUCAUUUUAAAGAUGUAAAAUAAAAUAGGCAUCAAAUGUGUUAGUGUCAGUCCUGACACAUUUUGCUGACUUGCCGUCACUUGGCCCCAACUGUCAUUUUUUCCCCCCAUUAUCUUAUAUAUUCACCUUCCUCCUAAAAUUUAACCCUAAAUUUCCAAAUCUUCUUUUUCAUCGUCAUCUUCUUUUAUCUAUCCAAAUUCUUCAAAUUAUUUCUUUCAUUUUUUCCAACUGACCUUGACAAUGUCGAGCGCAUCUUUCACUAUUUUUUGUGAUAAAGAUUUUUGAUAUUGUAAGUGCGGUCAUGAAGCUCUGUUAAAGACUUCUUGGAAUCAAAAAAAUUAGGGUCGUAGGUUUUUACUUGUAAGAUUUCAAAGGUAAUAUUUUUUUUAUUUAAUUAAUUGAUUAAUUAUUGACUUGUAAUUAUUUUGUAAUUGUGUUCUCUUUUUUAUAGAAAUUGGGUAGAUGCGAUUACUUUUAUUAAUAUGAAGAACGACACCCUUCAUAAGAAAAUCGUGUAAUCUGGGGUUUGUUGAACAAAGUCAAGGCUUCUGAAGAGAAACAAAAUCGAGCAAGAAGAUACUACAUUGUUGCCGUUAUUGCUACUGGUUUGGUAUUGUUGGGCACAUGGAUAUUGAAGCCUAAUUGCUAAAAUUUUCAUGGUGGUGUGUGUAUUUGCUACUGGUUUAUUGUCGACGAGCACAUAGAUAUUCAAGCAUAACUGUUGGAAAACAUCAAAAAGAUUUAGGUAUAUGUUGUAAAAUUUAGGUCAUCUGUGGAAAUUAUCAAACAGGUCUUCCCACUGUUGCAACAGAUUAGACUUAAAUUAUUAGAUUAUUCAUAGAAAUUAUCAAACAGGUCUUCCCACUGUUGCAACGUAUUUGACUUAGAUUAUUAGAUUAUUCAAACAAGUCUUCCCACUGUUGUAACAGAUUGACAAUCUAAUCUAUUGCAUUAUAAAAAACUUAACUUUCAUCAGAAAAAAAUUAUUGUCACUACAUGUACAUAUAAUAAAGUGAAGGACGACUUGAAAUUAAAAAUUUCUAUUUCACAGGCUCUUCUAUAUACACAGGCUUCAAGCGUCCAGUUAGUACCCCAUAAGCCCAGACCUCUUGCAGGUUUGCCACAGCGUUGUCGCACAAAAGAGUCAUUGGCUCGGAUAUUUCUGUGCCGGUCAGCAAACAUUCAAUGUGUGCAAGAGCGUACGAGCCUCUCACUUUAGCGGCAUCAUCUUUUGGAAUGAUCAUUCCCCUGUUUUGACAUUCAAAAUCCUAUGAUUUCUUCAUCAACACUUCCUUUGGCAAAUGAUUCAUCAGUUUACUCUCCCUCAACAAGAUGGGCAAUAGCACCAUCAGUGGCUCCACAAGGAGAAAAAGAUCAAAAUUGUCGACGAAAGGUAUGUUGGAGUCAUAAAGAUUGAUCUUUCCCUCCUCAAGUAGUAUCUCAACAUCCCGAUAAUGCAUGCCGUUCACGCUAAUGACUGCAAGAAUCCUUUUUGCCUCGGUCCAGCUCUUGCUGUGUGGAUUUGGCCUGUCCCCUCUAACAUAUCUUAACAUUUCUUCUUCAUCCAAGACCAACGUAAAAACUAGAAAAUCAAGUCCACUGCCAAGAGCUGAUGCCUCUCCAUUGAGUUGAUCGUACUUAUCCUUGAGCUUCUUGCAGAAGUUGAGGUCCAUUAUCCUAUCAGCAGCGUCAUAAGCUUCCCGAUACGUUAAUUGCCUUUUCCUCAUGAGGCAGAGAAUUAUGUCAACAUGUUGUGAGAUAAGAAGUCAAUUUUUAAAUAGGUUAGCAAUUGUAAAGAGUCAAUGGAUAGUCUAUCUGUUGCAUAGGGUUCUCUGAAUCAAUAAUCCAAUACAACUUAUGCAACAGAUGGAUAAUAAGUUGCAACAAAACCACAACUAGUUGCACCAGUAUACCUAGUUGUUGCAAUAGAUGUAAAAUCUGUUGCAUAGCUUCUUCUUCAUAGGGUAGAUUAGAAGGGCUAGGUUAGGAAAAGUAAACUUGUCUUAUCCUCGUAUGACAUACGUAUAUCAGUCAUAGUCUGGAAGUCUUGGGGGGAAAGGGAGGCCUGGGGUAAUCUAGUGUGCCUGGCUUGGCAUUCUUGGCCUAUCGCAGAUCCCUUUUCUCUUCGGCGCCAAGUCCCGCAUAUAUGUCCACCUUAUUGACUGGCCCCAGAACUUCAACAACUUUUGGAGAGGGAGGAAUUUCAAUUUGUUUUGAUUUUCGAGAGGAGAGAACGUCUCUAAUUGCUCUUUUCUUUCUCCUAACCAACGCUGUAGGAGUGUGUGGCUCCCUCACCUUUUUGGAUGGUAUGACACAUCUCUUGGAUGAAUUCCUCGAUAGCUUUAGAGGUGGCCUCUACUUUUUCAAAGAGUUUAUCAUGUCUGUCCUUGCAUUCAUUGCAUUCGCAACAAGAACAAGAGGGUGAAGAGGGACCUGUGUAAAGGCGAAAAGGGGUGUUCUCAAACAUAUUUAUUCUUUCUUGAGCAUCAACAUGCUCAUCAUCACGAGUGGUAGCAGCAUCAGCAUGCCUGCCACCAAUACCAACAACUCUACCAGAAGAAGCACCCGGAUCUGCCUUAGUAAAAGGUUGGUCAUGAAGAGCCUUAACAUUAGGCAGACCUUGCCUAACUGCUCUUCUUAUGGCUGUUGCUCCAGCCAAUUCCUUCUUUAUUAACUCCAUCGUUAGGUCUGCAAUAGUAUCAACAUGACCUAGAGUAAUAUAAGAAGUCAUCACCGACUCCUCCUCAGUAGGCACGAUCCAUGGAUGCACAACCUAUAAAAAAGAAAAAAAAGACAGAUGCAUUUAAAUCAUAUAAUAUAAUAAUUUUCAUAGUUGGGCUACACUUUCAAAAGAAAAGACCCAUCUAUUACAUAGUUUGCAGUAUAUAGUUAAAAUUCAUUUGAGUCUGGUUCAGAGAAAUAGAGCAAUACAUGGAUAAUCUGAUGCAAAAUAUCAAUCAUCUAUUGCAACAGCUACACAAGAUGGGUAAUCUGUUAUGCAACAGAUGAUCUGUAAGUCACAACAGAUGAAUGAUAUGUUAUUAGAUUAAACAUCUGUUGUAUAAUCUGUAGUAGAUAGUUAAUCUUUUAGGAGCCGGGUUCAGAGAAUCAAAGCCACAGAUGGGUAAUCUGAUGCAAGAUAUACCCCAUUGCAAUAGAUGUCCGAUCUGGUACAUCAAAUAUAACAUCUCAUACACCAGAUAUAACAUCUGUUCAAUAUCUUUCUUAUCUUUGAGUAGAAUUAUUUUACUUGAAGAAGACGUACUGCAUCAUUCGGAGAGUUAAAGAGAUCAGUCUCCUUAAUAUUGGUGUUGCUCUUUCCAACCAACCACCUAAACAUCCUUGGAUGAGAAAUUUCAUUCGGGUAAUCCAUUAACUGCUUUCGGAGGGGAGGAAUGGCUUCAAAUGCCCAAGCCUAAAAAGUGUAAACAGGAAGCAAGCAAAAAAAAUCAUAAUAACUAUAUUCAAUAUAAAUUAAUGAAUGAGUAAAAUUAGUGAUUAAUUUUACCAUGAAAGCCCAAGAAAAACCGUAUAAUGUGGUCGUCCCUGAGGAUAGCUUUGUCAGUAAAUAUUGGACAGUCAAGUAGAAGCUGUCAUAUCCCCAGAGAUAAUUGUUGAAUUUAUCAAAAUCCUCAGCACGAGCCAACAAAUCAUCUUCUAUAACCUUGUUGACGUCUCUUGCCAAUAUAACCGAAUGGGUAAACCAAACUAAGCACAAUUGCUCCCUGUACUGCUCUGGUAUGGUUUUAUUCUCGAGAUCUAUCAACAAAUCUGAUGCUUUGUAGCCACGUCGAGCAAUGUCAAACAACCCAUCUAUUUUUAUCUUGCAUUUUCUUUCCUUGGAUCUUUUGUAGGGUGGUGGUCCUUCUGGACGAUGGCAUCUCAGGACCGUCACUAUGGCAAACUCAUGCAAGCUAAAACAAACAGGCAUGCCACAGUAGUUGAUCAAGAUUUUAUCCAUCUUCUUUUUGCCCCCCUCCUUUAGAUCUUUAUCAUCCCUCGUAUACUUGAUCCUACGCUUAAGAAGACCAUAUAUCAUCAUCAUAGGGAAAUGGAUAUGGGAAGAGGGGUCCUCAGGUAGCUCAAGAAAGCAUCCAAAGCAGAUUUUCUGAAAAAGUUCGCUUAUGUUUUCGUUCUUCAUAAUUUUCAUAAAAGUUCAAAAAUUUUCCCCAUCUGACAUUUAAGUACAAGUUGACCAGUUAGUUGUUUUCCGUCUGGGUCAUUUAUCGGCAUCGCAACUUGAAACCUGUCAAUACUAAAAGUUUUGACUGGAUCAUGCUGGGAUGUCGAUAUUAACUCACACCCCUUCGGUGAUCCAUUAUCAUCAUAUUGAUGAUCAUCCUUUUUCUCUUUCUGACUCUCCGAUUCCUCCUCUUUCUCACUUUCAUUUUAUUUAUCACCAUCUAUGGACCCUUGUCUACCUCCUUCAAUGUUGUUUUCACAUCUCUCCUCAGCUUCACUUUUCCCUGACUGAGAUUGUUCAGGAAGCUCCUCCGAAACCCUCUAUACUAUAGCCUUUUUUUUCAGUGGUCAGACGCUGAUCCACUUUCACUUUCUUUUCUUUUGGGAGACAUGUUAUACCUACAGAAAAAGAAAAACAAAAAUUACAUUACAGUUGAUGUAUGCAUAGAUUUUAAAAAAUACAUUACAAACACCACGAAUACCGACACACCAACAGCCACCACCACAAACACCACCAACCAAUGCCAACAAACAAACAAACAGCACGAAUACCAAUACCACCAAAAACACCACCAACCAAUGCCACCACCGGUGCCACCAGGACGACCACAAACACCACCACCUCCACCAUCACCACCAACACCAUCCAAAUAUACCACGAUAGUCAACGGAACAGUGUGAUGGAAACUAGGGAUUUCUCAAGUUCUUCCUACAAUUUUACCAUCGAAACUCAAAAUUGUAAAUCCAUUCUCGAAGAUAAUACAACUAAAAGUUUAUUUUUCAUCAUUAACUUAAAAGCCCUUAUUUUUUUAAAAAAAAUAUAAAGCUCUUCUUGAACUCUGAUUCCUACGAAGACAAAGAAAACGACUGAUACAAGUAAGAAUGAUGUCAAAAAUAACACCUAUGUGAUCGAAAAUGAGAAUAAAAGCAAUCUGUUGUGGAGGGUUGAGCAAAUUUAUUGAGUAGUUAUUGUCUGUACUGUAUUGUUGAGUGAGAAUGGGAGAGAAAGAGCCAGACCUCGAGAUUUGAAAUGAUGAAACAUUUUGUAUGGGUUGAUUUGUACUUUGGAAAAAAAUGACAAGUAGUUUUGAAAAAUGUUAAAAUCUAUGCAUAAUUUUUAACCCUUUUAUAAAAACAAUUGAAGUUGUAGUUGACAGAGUACUCUAGGAGGUGACCCUGUGAAAACUCACCCCUGGUCCUAGAUUAAUCAAUUUAGGAGUCUAACAUAUGAACUCAAUUAAAAUUAUAAAAAAUAAAUGUUCAACAUGUUGCGUCAGAUUUAUCAUCUGUUAUAAAUUAUCAAUCAUAUUAGGUAACAACGGAUUACAAAUCUGAUGUAAAUUAUCAAACAGAUUAAGUCAUCUGUUGCGACAGAUUACCCAUCUGUUGUAAAUUAUCAAAUAGAUAGUCAUAUGUCGCAACAGAUUAUCCAUAUGUUGUAAACUACCAAAUAGGCGCUGCCAUCUGUUGUGGCUGACCCUAUGAGAACUCACCCCUAGUCCUAGAUUAAUCGAUUGUAUACCCUAUGAGAACUCACCCCUAGUCCCAGACUAUUCAAUCAAGAUAUUAGUACCCUAGUCCUAGAUCAAUCAAUUAAGGUAUUAGUCUAAUAUAUGAGGUAGUAAGAAUCGGUUUGGCUCAGAGUGAUCGAUCGCCGACUCUGGUCGGGAGGAACGCAGUACCAUUUCAUUAUGCAAUUGACAAAAGACUCAAUUGAAGUUGUAGUUAACCCUAUGAGAACUCACAUUCAAUUAAGGUAUUAGUCUAACAUAUGAACUCAAUUAAAUUAUAUAUAAACAAAUGUUUGACCUGUUGCAAUAGAUGUCUUUUCUAUUGGAUCAAAUAGAUUAUGUAAUCUGUUGCAACAAAUUACACAUAUGUUGUAAACUAUCAUACAGAUUAAGCUAUUUGUUGUGAUAGAUCACGAAUCUGUUGUAAACUAUUAAACAGAUUAAGUCAUCUAUUGCAAUAGAUUACCCAUCUAUUGUAAAUUAUCAAAUGGAUUGAGUCAUAUAUUGUAAUAGAUUACCCAUCUGUUGUAAAUUAUCAAAUAGGGGCUGUCAUCUAUUGUAGUUGACAUUAUAAGAACUCACCCUAGUCUUAGAUCAAUCAAUUAAGGUAUUAGUCUAAUAUAUGAGGUAGUAAGAAUCGGUUUGGCUCAGAGUGAUCGAUCGCCGACUCUGGUCGGGAGGAACGCAAUACCGUUUUAUCAUGCAAUUGAUAAAAAACUCAAUUGAAGUUGUAGUUGACCCUAUGAGAACUCACAUUCAAUUAAGGUAUUAGUCUAAAAUAUGAAAUUAAUUGAAUUAUAUAUAAACAAAUGUUCAACCUGUUGCAACAGAUGUCUUUUCUGUUAGAUCAAAUAGAUUAUGUAAUCUGUUGCAAUAUAGUACACAUCUGUUGUAAACUAUCAUACAGAUUAAGCCAUUUGUUGCGACAGAUCACGAAUCUGUUGUAAACUAUCAAACAGAUUAAGUCAUCUAUUGCAACAGAUUACCCAUCUGUUGUAAAUUAUUAAAUGGAUUGAGUCAUAUAUUGCAAUAGAUUACCCAUAUAUUAUAAAUUAUCAAAUAGGCAUUGUCAUCUAUUGUAGUUGACAUUAUGAGAACUCACCCCUAGUCCUAGAUCAAUCAAUUAAGGUAUUAGUCUAACAUAUGAGGUAGUAAGAAUUGGUUCGGCUCAGAGUGAUCGAUCCCCGACUCUGGUUGAGAGGAACGCAGUACCGUCUCAUUAUGCAAUUGACAAAAGACUCAAUUGAAGUUGUAGUUGACCCUAUGAGAACUCAUAUUCAAUUAAGGUAUUAUUCUAACAUAUGAACUCAAUUAAAUUAUAUAUAAAGAAAUGUUCAACUUAUUGCAACAGAUGUCUUUUCUGUUGGAUCAAAUAGAUUAUGUAAUAUGUUGCAACAUAUUACACAUCUGUUAUAAACUAUCAUACAUAUUAAGCCAUCUGUUACAACAGAUCACGAAUCUGUUGUAAACUAUCAAAUAGAUUAAGUCAUCUAUUGUAAUAGAUUACCCAUCUGUUGUAAAUUAUUAAAUGGAUUGAGUCAUAUGUUGUAAUAGAUUACCCAUCUAUUAUAAAUUAUCAAAUAGGCAUUGUCAUCUAUUAUAGUUGACAUUAUGAGAACUCACCUCUAGUCCUAGAUCAAUCAAUUAAGGUAUUAGUCUAAUAUAUGAGGUAGUAAGAAUCGGUUCAGCUCAGAGUGAUCGAUCGCCGACUCUGGUCGGAAGGAACGCAGUACCGUCUCAUCAUGCAAUUGACAAAAGACUUAAUUGAAGUUGUAGUUGACCCUAUAUUCAAUUAGGGUAUUAGUACCCUAGUCCUAGAUUCAUCAAUUAAGGUAUUAGUCUAACAUAUGAGGUAGUAAGAAUCGGUUUGACUCAAAGUUAUCGAUCGACGACUCUAGUUGGGAGGAACGCAGUACCGUCUCAUCAUGAAAUUGCCAAAAAACUCAAUUGAAGUUGUAUUUGACCUUAUGAGAACUCAGCCCUAGUACCAGAUGAUUCAAUCAAGGUAUUAGUACCCUAGUCCUAGAUCAAUCAAUUAAGGUAUUAGUCUAACAUAUAAGGUAGUAAGAAUCGGCUCAGCUCAGAGUGAUCGAUCGACGACUCUGAUCGGAGGAACGCAAUACCAUCUUAUCAUGAAAUUGCCAAAAGACUCAAUUAAAGUUGUAUUUGACCCUAUGAGUACUCACAUUCAAUUAAGGUUUUAGUCUAAUAUAUGAACAUAAUUGAAAUUAUAUAUAAACAAAUGUUCAACCAGUUGCAACAUAUGUCUUUUCUGUUGGAUCAAAUCAAACAGAUUAGGCAAUAUAUUGCAACAUAUUACGCAUCUGUUGUAAACUAUCAAACGAAUUACAUCAUUUGUUGUGACAGAUCACGAAUCUAUUGUAAACUAUCAAACAGAUUAAGUCAUCUGUUGCAACAGACGAUACAUAUGUUGAAACAGGUAGGUGAUCUGUUGGAAUUUAUCAAACAGGUCUUCCCACUGUUACAACAAAUGAACUUUAGAUAAAAACAUCGAGAUAAUGCAACAGAUGUGAGAUGACCAACCUAUUGCAACAGAUAAACUAUAUGUCAGAACAGGUAGGAUAACUGUUACAAUAGAUAGAGAAUCUGUUGCAUUAUAAAAAUUCAACUUUUGUUGGACAUAAAAAAUUGUCACUACGUUUAAAAAGGUUAAAGUGAAUUGAAAUAAAAAAGGCGCAACACAUCGAUGGUGUUCAGUUCAAACACCUAAAAUAAAAUAGGCAUCAAGUAGACACGUUCAUUUUAAAGACGUAAAAUAAAAUAGGCAUCAAAUGUGUUAGUGUCAGUUCUGACACAUUUCGCUGACUUGCCGUCACUUGGCCCCCAACGGUCAUUUUUUCCCCCCAUUGUCUUAUAUAUUUAUAUUCCUCCUAAAAUUUAACCCUAAAUUCCCAAAUCUUCUUCUUCAUCAUCAUCUUCUUUUAUCUAUACAAAUUCUUCAAAUUAUUUCUUUCAUUUUUUCCAACUGACCUUGACAAUGUCGAGCGCAUCUUCCACUAUUUUUUGUGAUAAAGAUUUUUGAUAUUGUAAGUGCGGUCAUGAAGCUCUGUUAUAGACUUCUUGGACUCAACAAAAUCUGGAUCAUAGAUUUUUUACUUGUAAGAUUUCAAAGGUAACAUUUUUUUUAUUUAAUUAGUUGAUAAUUAUUGACUUGUAAUUAUUUUGUAUUUGUAUUCUUUUUUUAUAGAAAUUGGGUAGAUGUGAUUACUUUGAUUGGUAUGAAGAACGACACCCUUCACAAGCAAAUUGUGUAAUUUGGGGUUUGUUGAACAAAGUCAAGGCUUCUGAAGAGAAACAAAAUCGAGCAAGAAAAUACUAUAUUGUUGCCGUUAUUGCUACUGGUUUGGUGUUGUUGGGUACAUAGUUAUUCAAGCCUAAUUGCUGAAAUUUUCAUGGUAGUGUGUGUAUUUUCUAUUGGUUUGGUGUUGUCGAGCACACGGAUAUUCAAGCGUAACUGUUGAAAAAUAUCAAAAGGAUUUAUGCAUAUGUUGUAAAAUUUAGGUCAUCUGUUGGAAAUUAUCAAACAGGUCUUUCCACUAUUGCAACAAAUUAGACUUAGAUUAUUAGAUUAUUCAUAGAAAUAACAUCGGCGUAAUGCAACAGAUAAACUAUCUGCCAGAAGGGAUUAAAUAUAUUUUGCAACAGAUUGGCAAUCUAAUCUAUUGCAAUGUAAAAAAACUCAAAUUUCAUCAGAAAAAUUAUUGCCGCUCCAUGUACAUGUAAUAAAGUGAAGGGUGACUUGAAAUUAAAAAUUUCUAUUUCACAUUCACUUGAAAUUAAAAAUUUCUAUUUCACAGGCUCUUCUAUAUACACAGACUCUUCUAUAUACACAGGCCUCAUGCAUCCAGUUAGUACCCCAUAAGCCCAGACCUCUUGCAGGUUUGCCACGGCAUUGUCACACAGAAAAGUCAUUUGCUCGGCCAUUUUUGUGCCUAUUAGCAAACAUUCUAUGUGUGCAAGAGCGUGCGAGCCUCUCGCUUUAGUGGCAUUAUCUUUUGAAAGGAUCAUUCCCCUGUUUCGACCUUCAAAAUCCCAUGAUUUCUUCAUCAACACUUCCUUUGGCAAAUGAUUCAUCAGUUUACUCUUCCAUAACAAGAUGGACAACAACACCAUCAGUGGCUCCACGAGUAAAAAAAGAUCGAAAUCGUCAAUGGGAGGUACGUUAGAGUCAUAAACAUUGAUCUUUCCCUCCUCGAGUAGUAUCUCAACAGCCUCCUUUUUUCCUCGGUCCAGCUCUUGCCGUGUGGAUUUGGCAUGUCCUCUCUAACAUAUUUUAUCAUUUCUUCUUCAUCCAAGACCAACAUAGGAACUAGGAAAUCAAGUCCCACGCCAAUGGCUGACGCCUCUCCAUUGAGUUGAUCGUAGCUAUCCUUGAGCUUCUUACAGAAGUUGAGGUCCAUUAUCCUAUCGGCAACGUCAUAAGCUUCCUGAUACGUUAAUUAUCUUUUCCUCAUAAGGCAUAGAAUUAUGUAAACAUGCUGUGAGAUAAGAAGUCAAUUUUUAAAUAGGUUAGUAAUUGUAAAGAUGUAACGGAUGGUCCAUCUGUUGCAUAGGGUUCUCUGACUCAAUAAUCCAACGCAACUUAUGCAACAGAUGGAUAAUAAGUUGUAACAGAACCACUACCAGUUGUAACAGUAUACCCAGCUAUUGCAACAGAUGUGAAAUCUGUUGCGUGGCUUCUUCUUCAUGGGGUAGAUUAGAAGGGCUAGGUUAGGAAAAGUAAACUUUCCUUGUCGUCGUACAGCAUACGCAUAUCAGUCAUAGUCUGAAAGUCUUGGGGGGGAAAGGGAGGCCUGGGGCAAUCUGGUGCGCCUGGCUUGGCAUUCUUGGCCUGUCGCAGAUCCCUCUUCUCUUCGGCGCCAAGUUCUGCAUAUAUGUCCACCUUCUUGACUAGCCCCUGAACUUUAACAACUUUUGGAGAAGGAGUAAUUGCAAUUAUUUUUAUUUCCGAGUGGAGAGUACAUCUCUAAUUGCUCUUUUCUAUCUCCUAACCAACACUAUAGGAGUGUGUGGCACCCUCACCUUCUUGGAUGAUAUAGCACACCUCUUGGAUUUGAAUUCCUCGAUAGCUUUAGAGAUAUCCUCUACUUUUUCAAAGAAUUUAUCCUAUCUGUCCUUACACUCAUCACAUUCGCAAUGAGAACACGAGGGUCAAGAAGGGUGAGAGGGACCUGUGUAAGGGCAAAAAGUGAUGUUUUCAAAUACAUUUAUUCUUUCUUGAGCAUCAAUAUACUCAUCAUCACGAGUGGUAGCAGUAUCAGCAUGCCUGCCACCAACACUAACAACUCCACCAGAAGAAGCACCCAGAUCUGCCUUAGUAAAAGGUUGGUCAUAAAAAGCCUUAACAUUAGGCUGACCUUGCCUAACUGCUCUUCUUAUGGCUAUUUCUCCAGCCAAUUCCUUCUUUAUUAACUCCACCGUUGGGUCUGCUAUAGUAUCAACAUGACCUAGAGUAAUAUAAAAAGUCAUCACCGACUCCUCCUCAGUAGGCACAAUCCAUGGAUGCACAACCUACAAACAAGAAAAAAAGACAGAUGCAUUUAAAUCAUAUAAUAUAAUAAUUUUCACAGUUGGGCUAUAUUUUAAAAAAAAGACCCAUCUGUUGCAUAGUUUGCAGUAUAUGGUUAAAAUUUGUUUGAGUCUGGUUUAGAGAAACAGAGAAACACAUGGAUAAUCUAAUUCACAAUAUCAAUUAUCUGCUGUAACAGUUGCACAAGAUGGGUAAUCUGUUAUGCAACAGAUGAUCUAUACGUCACAACAGAUAAACAAUAUGUUAUCAGAUUAAGCAUCUGUUGCAUAAUUUACAAGAGAUGGUUAAUCUUUUAGGAGUCAAGUUCAGAGAACCAAAGCAACAUAUGGGUAAUCUGAUGCAAGAUAUACCCUGUCGCAACAGAUGUCCCAUCUGGUGCAUCAGAUAUAACAUCUGUUGCACCAGAUAUAAUAUCUGUUAAAUAUCUUUCUUAUCUUUGAGUAGAAUUAUUUUUCUUGAAGAAGGCAUACUGCAUCAUCCAAAGGGUUAAAGAGAUCAGCCUCCUUAAUAUUGGUGUUGCUCUUUGCAGCCAACCACCUAAAUAUCCUUGGAUGAGAAACCUCAUCCAGGUAAUCCAUUAACUGCUUUCGGAGGGAGGAAUGACUUCAAAUGCCCAAGCCUAAAAAAUAUAAACAGGAAGCAAGCAAAAAAAAA